ACGGUCAAAAGCUUACUAGGAACCACUCAUCACUUCUCCGGUUAUCCACCACCGUCAGAUCAUCCAUCCACAGCUUAUCUUCUAUGAACGAGAUCGCACCUGAUGAAGAAAUAUAUAACCUUGAAGAACGGAAACUUCACUGCAAGCCCGUUUCACCUCUGGUUCGGUCCGGUUCAGUGCGUCUAACUCCAAUACUUGCCAUAUUGUUCCUCUAUGUAUGCACCCUUUUCGCCUUCUUCAACACGGACGACAUAGCCACCUCGGAAAAUCUGCUUUUAGGGCUUAUUUUAGUUGCGGUUUUACUUUUCUUCGCGUCGAAAAAUAAGUCAAGAAUCCAACAAAGUUUCAGUUUUUGUAAGGAACUGUGUUAUGAGUAUGGAAAAAAAGUUGGGUUCCUCUGUUUGACCUCUAAGAACGAUGAAAAAUCUGUGAAAUGGUUCAUCGGUGAAUCGAACUUCGAUUAUAAAGAGAAUGCUAAGAAUAUUAUAAGAGAAGGAGUGGAAUUUUACAGCAAUGGGGAUUACUAUGAAGGUGAGUUUCACCAAGGUAAAUGCAAUGGGAGUGGAGUGUACAAUUACUUCACGAAUGGGAGAUACGAGGGCGACUGGAUUGGUGGGAAGUACGAUGGAUAUGGAGUUGAGAGUUGGUCGAGGGGAAGUCGAUAUCGGGGGCAGUAUAGGCAGGGAUUGAGGCAUGGCUAUGGAGUUUAUAAGUUUUACACUGGGGAUACAUAUGCAGGGGAGUGGUGUAAUGGGCAGAGUCAUGGAAUGGGAGUGCAAUCUUGUGCUGAUGGGAGUUGUUAUAUUGGAGAGUUCAAAUGUGGGGUGAAACAUGGCCUUGGUUCUUACCAUUUUAGGUGAGAAUUGAUGUUCUUUUAUGCUUGUCUCAAUCUGUUUAAUUGAUUUUUAUUUUUUUUUCGAAAUUUUUGAGUUAAUACGUGAAUCUUGUUGGUGUCCGGAGCAUAAUUGGAGUGUAGGUAGCUGAAAUUUUGCAGCUAUAAGUGAAUGAAGCUCUCGAGCGAUGAGGAUUGAUGCUCUUUGAUGCUUGUUUCUAUUUGUUAAAUUUUUUAUUUCACUUUAGUCUUUUUUUUUUUCUUUUUCUUUUGAUUUAAAUUUUGAGUUGUAUAUGUGAAUCUCAGAUGUUGUGUGGAGUGUAAUCGUACCGUUGGUAGCUGGAAAAUUUGCAGCGAUAGGUGGACAAAGCUCUCAAGCAAUAAGAAUUUGAUGUUUUCUGAUGCUUGUUUCUAUCUGUUUGAUUCUGUUUUACUCUAUUUUUCUGUUAUUUUCGAGUCGAUAUGUGAAUCUUGUUGGACUGUGUGGAGUCUAAUGUAGAUAGCUGAAAACUUUGCAACGAUAAGUGGAUGACCCUCUCACAUCUAGGGUGAACCACCAUUAAUUCGUAUGGGCUUUCUUCGUUUUAUAAUGGAGUUAAGUUCAAAAUUAAUCAAUGGCAAAUCUUGAUCGUACAUGUGAUUGGUUCUAUGUUUGAUCUGAUAAAAUUUUGUUGGUGUUUCUUAAUAAUGUUGUUUGAGAUGACACAGUUUGGUUACAAAUUUUGUGGGGGAGGAUUCUAGUUUGUAGUAAUCGGAUUAUAUCUUAUGUUGUUUUGGAUUUUGUAUGAGAUUAGUUGCCUGAAAGUUUUCGAGUUCAUGUAUUCUAUUUGUUGAGUUUUUUGGCUUCUUGAUAGAUGGAACAAUAGAUGGUUCUGAUUAUUUUGAUGAUUUAGAAUCACAAGUUAUUGAAGGAACUUGAGAAUAAAUAUGAAAUUUGAUUGUCUUGUAGAAAUGGAGAUAGAUAUGCUGGUGAAUAUUUUGGAGAUAAAGUCCAUGGUUUUGGCGUCUAUCACUUCUCGAAUGGUCACUGUUAUGAGGGAUCAUGGCAUGAAGGACGAAAACAAGGUUAUGGCAUGUAUACUUUCCGAAGUGGUGAGACGAGAUGUGGCGAAUGGGAUGGUGGUAAACUUAAGGCGUCCCUUCUUCCGCUAACUGAUUCAGUUCUGCGAGCUGUUCAGGUAACAAUGUUACUCCUCUCUCAAAGCACAAUAAGGUUACUUUUCUAGAAAAUAAGUUUGAAUAAAAUCUAGAUGGACUAACUUCUAAGCACAACCAAACAUGCUCGUAUGUUCACUCUUAACUCUCGUUUUCUCUUGUAUUGUCCAGGCUGCUAGAAAAUCUGCGGGAAAUGCAAUAAAACUCUGCAUGGUUGAUGAACAAGUGAACAAGGCUGUUAUGGCAUCAAACCGAGCUGCUACUGCCGCCAGAGUUGCUGCUGUUAAAGCUGUUCAGAACAGGAUCGAUGGAAAAUUCUGCGAUACUGAUGUUUAAGUAUUGUCCAUAAAUUUAAAUCUUCUAAGUUGUUCUUGCGUAGAAGGUAUAUGAGCACCCCGAUAAGCAAAAACUCGUCGGAGGUUGAGUGUAUGUCGUGGUUUUGUUUCAACUAAGUAAUCUGUACAUGUUUCAAUCAUAAUUUCAAUGGGAAGCAUUUUUUAUUUAAAUGCCAUUAAAAUUGCGGUCCAUGAAAUGCACUGAAGAUAAUAGAUAGAUAUAAAAAAAUGCAGGAUUACGGGUUGAGCUGACCCACAGCCAUUGAAAAUAGUUCGAGGGAGUAGUAUGAUUUUGAGUUCAGACCUUCAACCUCCCAUUAACCUGUCUUGAAUUAAAAAUAAUGUAUAUGACUGAGACUAAGCAAGAAAUUGGUGCAUAAAAUAUAUGGAAAACUAGAAAUAUUGGUUCCUAAUAAAAGGUAUCUUGUUUUCGUUCAAGAGGUGAGACGAGUUACAACAAAGUGAGAAUCUGUCGAAUAGUUCACACCAAAUCCUCACGAAGGUUGAAAGUUGGUCAAGCAAAGAUUUAACAAAUCAAUGAUGCUUUGCUGCUUUAUUAGUUGGCUUCAUAGCUUGCUUCUUCCAACUGUUUACGUGGUUUAUUCUUUUUCCUUGACUUACUUAGUUCACAUCUCAAUUUUGUUAAGGAUUCUGGACCUUCUUCUUCACCUGGUCAAAGAGAAAGAAUCCUUCAACUCUAUGAUCACAUUUAUAGAAAUUUGGAGUAGUCUAUUGUCCUAUUGUAUAAUAAAAGGAGUAAGUAAUUCGAUUUGACUGAACUUUCAAACCAAAUCAUUUUAAAUGGUUUGAAAAAACCUCAAACCUAAAUCAAACCAUUCGACACAGUUUAAGAUUUUCUCAAACAUAUACCUAAUGAUUUAUACCGCGAUUAUUUUUCUUCAUGUUCACUUUGUCACUACUAAUUCAAUUAUUACAAAAUACUUUCAUACUUUAUUAAAAAAAAAAUAUAUAUAUAUAUAUAUAUAUAUAUAGUGAGAGCAUUUGAUGUGAUGUUUUAAAGUUUUUUGUACUAUUUUUUCAUCUAGUCAAAUCAAUUUUUAAUGAAGGACAUUUAGGAUAUUUGAAUUAUUUAGAUGGGCAAAAAUGUCCAAAAAUUUUCAAAAUUGACAAUAUUGCAAAGACCUAAAAAAGGUGACAUUUUUGUAAAUGUAAAGUCAAAAAUUGACUAUUUCGAUAAUUUCCACAUAAAAAAAUAAAAGGUGAAUUUAUUUAUUGAACCACAUUGAUUUCUUCUCCAAUAUCAAUAUGACGUGAGAGAAAAUAAAAGUAAAACCCUACUAUAAUUUUCUAGCAAAUGUGGUGCCGGCAAGGAAAUAACAAAUUUGCCGAAUCAAGAUCGGACGACCGUGUCUACCCGUCAAUACCGGGAAAUCCCAAUCCAACGGUUCAUAUACGUUACGAUAUCCACCGUUGGAUCAUCAACUGACGGCCCAUAUCAAACCAUUGUGGGCUCCACCAAACCUUUUCCCUAGACAUAUAAAUAACAAUUAUAGGUAAAACCAUGUCCACUCUGAAGAAUUCUUGAACAAAAUUCUCUCUCACGCAGUGGUUUUGUGUGUGUGUUCUUGUUCCAAAAAAUUGUUUUUGCUUAUCUUGCUCACUUAUCCGACGCAUUAUCGCCGGAGAUGAAACCGGCGUCGGAGUAUAUGAUAAGAAAAUCAAGGUACAGGAGAGUUAAUCGUCUAGCUAAAAAGAUCAACAGCUAGGAUUUUAUCAGCGGAUCUCACUGUCAAGAAUGGACGGUCAAAAGCUUACUAGGAACCACUCAUCACUUCUCCGGUUAUCCACCACCGUCAGAUCAUCCAUCCACAGCUUAUCUUCUAUGAACGAGAUCGCACCUGAUGAAGAAAUAUAUAACCUUGAAGAACGGAAACUUCACUGCAAGCCCGUUUCACCUCUGGUUCGGUCCGGUUCAGUGCGUCUAACUCCAAUACUUGCCAUAUUGUUCCUCUAUGUAUGCACCCUUUUCGCCUUCUUCAACACGGACGACAUAGCCACCUCGGAAAAUCUGCUUUUAGGGCUUAUUUUAGUUGCGGUUUUACUUUUCUUCGCGUCGAAAAAUAAGUCAAGAAUCCAACAAAGUUUCAGUUUUUGUAAGGAACUGUGUUAUGAGUAUGGAAAAAAAGUUGGGUUCCUCUGUUUGACCUCUAAGAACGAUGAAAAAUCUGUGAAAUGGUUCAUCGGUGAAUCGAACUUCGAUUAUAAAGAGAAUGCUAAGAAUAUUAUAAGAGAAGGAGUGGAAUUUUACAGCAAUGGGGAUUACUAUGAAGGUGAGUUUCACCAAGGUAAAUGCAAUGGGAGUGGAGUGUACAAUUACUUCACGAAUGGGAGAUACGAGGGCGACUGGAUUGGUGGGAAGUACGAUGGAUAUGGAGUUGAGAGUUGGUCGAGGGGAAGUCGAUAUCGGGGGCAGUAUAGGCAGGGAUUGAGGCAUGGCUAUGGAGUUUAUAAGUUUUACACUGGGGAUACAUAUGCAGGGGAGUGGUGUAAUGGGCAGAGUCAUGGAAUGGGAGUGCAAUCUUGUGCUGAUGGGAGUUGUUAUAUUGGAGAGUUCAAAUGUGGGGUGAAACAUGGCCUUGGUUCUUACCAUUUUAGGUGAGAAUUGAUGUUCUUUUAUGCUUGUCUCAAUCUGUUUAAUUGAUUUUUAUUUUUUUUUCGAAAUUUUUGAGUUAAUACGUGAAUCUUGUUGGUGUCCGGAGCAUAAUUGGAGUGUAGGUAGCUGAAAUUUUGCAGCUAUAAGUGAAUGAAGCUCUCGAGCGAUGAGGAUUGAUGCUCUUUGAUGCUUGUUUCUAUUUGUUAAAUUUUUUAUUUCACUUUAGUCUUUUUUUUUUUCUUUUUCUUUUGAUUUAAAUUUUGAGUUGUAUAUGUGAAUCUCAGAUGUUGUGUGGAGUGUAAUCGUACCGUUGGUAGCUGGAAAAUUUGCAGCGAUAGGUGGACAAAGCUCUCAAGCAAUAAGAAUUUGAUGUUUUCUGAUGCUUGUUUCUAUCUGUUUGAUUCUGUUUUACUCUAUUUUUCUGUUAUUUUCGAGUCGAUAUGUGAAUCUUGUUGGACUGUGUGGAGUCUAAUGUAGAUAGCUGAAAACUUUGCAACGAUAAGUGGAUGACCCUCUCACAUCUAGGGUGAACCACCAUUAAUUCGUAUGGGCUUUCUUCGUUUUAUAAUGGAGUUAAGUUCAAGGUUUAAUCAAUGGCAAAUCUUGAUCGUAUAUGUGAUUGGUUCUAUGUUUGAUCUGAUAAAAUUUUGUUGGUGUUUCUUAAUAAUGUUGUUUGAGAUGACACAGUUUGGUUACAAAUUUUGUGGGGGAGGAUUCUAGUUUGUAGUAAUCGGAUUAUAUCUUAUGUUGUUUUGGAUUUUGUAUGAGAUUAGUUGCCUGAAAGUUUUCGAGUUCAUGUAUUCUAUUUGUUGAGUUUUUUGGCUUCUUGAUAGAUGGAACAAUAGAUGGUUCUGAUUAUUUUGAUGAUUUAGAAUCACAAGUUAUUGAAGGAACUUGAGAAUAAAUAUGAAAUUUGAUUGUCUUGUAGAAAUGGAGAUAGAUAUGCUGGUGAAUAUUUUGGAGAUAAAGUCCAUGGUUUUGGCGUCUAUCACUUCUCGAAUGGUCACUGUUAUGAGGGAUCAUGGCAUGAAGGACGAAAACAAGGUUAUGGCAUGUAUACUUUCCGAAGUGGUGAGACGAGAUGUGGCGAAUGGGAUGGUGGUAAACUUAAGGCGUCCCUUCUUCCGCUAACUGAUUCAGUUCUGCGAGCUGUUCAGGUAACAAUGUUACUCCUCUCUCAAAGCACAAUAAGGUUACUUUUCUAGAAAAUAAGUUUGAAUAAAAUCUAGAUGGACUAACUUCUAAGCACAACCAAACAUGCUCGUAUGUUCACUCUUAACUCUCGUUUUCUCUUGUAUUGUCCAGGCUGCUAGAAAAUCUGCGGGAAAUGCAAUAAAACUCUGCAUGGUUGAUGAACAAGUGAACAAGGCUGUUAUGGCAUCAAACCGAGCUGCUACUGCCGCCAGAGUUGCUGCUGUUAAAGCUGUUCAGAACAGGAUCGAUGGAAAAUUCUGCGAUACUGAUGUUUAAGUAUUGUCCAUAAAUUUAAAUCUUCUAAGUUGUUCUUGCGUAGAAGGUAUAUGAGCACCCCGAUAAGCAAAAACUCGUCGGAGGUUGAGUGUAUGUCGUGGUUUUGUUUCAACUAAGUAAUCUGUACAUGUUUCAAUCAUAAUUUCAAUGGGGAGAAAAAAAAAAAAGCAACUUUCAGCAAGUUCUUAUUUUGCUCAAUUCUACUUGCUAGUUGCUAUAAUGUUUCGAUUGAUUGUGGUAUUGAUUGGAUACCAUAAGAUUUGAAAAAGUAAUAAAGUAACAUCUUUGAACAAAUAAAGGAUUUAUAUAUUUAGAUUCGAAAACUUUGGAACGACUGCGAAAAAUAUGGGAAGAAUUGGCAAUAAAGUGACAUCUACGAACAAGUCUCCCUUGACCUUUGUUUUAGUUUGAGAAGGGAACAGCAAAAAAGCAAAUUCAAAAUCUUCGAAGGGGAUUGAAUCGAGAAUGGACAUUUUUUGGUCACUACAUUCAAUGAUCAUUAUUAUUUUUCGAGGUCCAGUGCAUUAGAUUCUCUCAUAUUGGUCCGUAUUUGGUUUUUGAACUAUAUUUUUCUAUACAUAUUGUAAAGAUCGAUCUAUACAAGUACGCAAAAAAUAAAUGAUUGAUCUCAACACAUUAUUACACGUUAAAUACGUUAAAUUGUAUAUGAUUAAAUGAAUAAAUCAGAGCACAUGAUCCCACAUGAUCGAGUUCAGCGUAUCAAAUAUAUAUAAUCAAAAUCAAAACACAAAAUUUAUAAAAGAAAAAAACAGGCACUUUUCUUGAUGUGGGGUGCCCAUAAUUCUUUAAACUCGUGAGUGAUGUGCCCUUUUCAUCUUCAAGUUGAAUAAUUUGAAAGAUUGUUCAUUAUUCUUAUGCAAGCACGUGAUGGAGAGGCGAGGAGAGGAGAGGGGAGGGGAGGGGAGGGCAGGAGAGGGGAGCGGAUGGGUGGUCUUUGUUCAAAGAUCAGAUUAAUAACCCAAAUGGUGAUUGACUUUGCAAAAAGUUUUCACCAGGUCACUGAACUUUAAAAAUCACUCAAGUUAUCACUGAAUUUUGCAAAAUGUUUACACGAGGUCACUAAACUUUAAAAAUCACUCCAUUUAUCACUAAACUUUGCAAAAGAUUUGCAAAGUUAAAUGAUGAAUGAGAUAAUUUUUAAAGUUCAGCAAUCUCAUGGAAACUUCUUGAAAAGUUCAGUGACCCUCUAAAAAUCUUUUGCAAAAUUCAGUGAUGAUUUGGAUGAUUUUUAAAAUUCAGUGAUCCAAUGAAAACUUUUUACAAAGUUCAGUGGCCAUUUGGGUUAUUAACUCUUCAAAGAUCUGAAACCUUUUUUACAUGCAUGUUUGAUCCAUAAUCUAUGUUUCAUCAAUUUUUUAUGCGAGAACUUUUUGCUUCUUUUUCAGUAUUCAAAUAAAGGGUCUGCAGAUUUUUGUUCUUUGCUUAAAGAUUUGCUUUAUCCACCAUCUCAGAUUCAGAUCUCAUGCAAUUUUAUCAAACUUCAGACGCGCAUUGGCAAAAGUAAAUCAGUAAAAGCACUUUUAGUUAGCAUUUGUGUUUGAACAUCUUUGAGUAUUGAGUAAAGUUCAUUUUUACUAAGUUACUUUUUCUUACCUUAUUGGGAAAUAAGUAACUUAUUUUAAUUUUGAUUGAUGAAAUAAAUAUUUAGAUCGUACUUAACUUUUAUGUAUGUAUUGUGACAAAAAAUAUAUUAUCAUCAUAUUUGGAAAUUUCAUCCACUUACUGUAAAAUAAAAUUGUACUAAUGAAUAUUUAAAAAUCGAUUUGAACGUUGACCCUAAAAUGGAAUAAGGGAAAUGGUCGAACCGAGAAUGAUAAAGUUAUUUUUAAAAAAAAUAAAAUAAAAAGAAAGAUUCUUCUUUUCUUUUUAAUAAUGAAGUUUUAAAACCCGAUUCUAAUUUAUCAAGUGAAUAAAAUGUGCUAUUGAACUCUUGUAACAUGUUUAAAAUUUUUUGUUUCUAUAAUAUAAUUAGACUGAAUUUCGAACUAAUUUCAACUGAAAAUUGAUCGAACCAAUCCAAUUGAGCAUCUACAACAUUAGUAUGGACUAAAUACGAUUCCGAAUAAAUCUGAUAAUUUCACAUUUUUUGAUUGUUGUACUAAUUUACAAAGUAGAGAUGAGAUCAAACACGACAAGCCGUAAACAAUCAUUAAUAAAGGUCAUUUCUAGACAACUACAUACCUAAGAUGGGUAAGAAUAUUACCUGUCAAAAUCACAAAAAAAAAAUAAAAAAAUAAUAAUAAAUAAAUAAAUAAAAUAAAGACUUUUAUAUACCGUAGUCUAUUAUCCUCUAUUAUUACAAGGUUAACAAAUUUUGAGGUCAACAAUGUUGAGCAUGUGAAUUCACCAUAGGUUGCCAUUAUCUCAAGCAAAAUUCUUCUGUAGCUUGGGACUACACAUCAGCCAUGACUUAGCCAUUUUCUUUAAAAAUAUUUAAUCAUUAUAAAUAUAUCAUUAAUUAUAGUGUAUAUCUGUCCCGUAUUUUAUAAUUAAAUUAUUUGUUGCUUACUUAGAUUGAUGGAAAUAUUGAAUAAAAUAUUGGUAGUGUCUCUGUUUUGGUCACCCUGAGAGGGAUAUUUCCGAACUCACAUUAUCCCAAAACUUGCUUUGAAUUAUUUAUUUAUUUUGAGGAAUUUUAUUGCAUUCUUAAAUCUCUGAUAAGGUCAAUUUGUAAGACAGCUUCUGUCUUAUCUUCUUGUCAUUUUUAUUUUAUUUCUAGAAGUAAUUAAAAAAUUCAAAUGAGCAAUUUGAUUAUAGUUGAAUUUCAAAAUUGACAGUCUAAACGAGCCACUAACUUGUGGUAUAUAUUAACGGAUGUAAGAGCUUGAACUACUUUUGUUAACAAUAUCGACAGUUUGAGAUAGAACUCAAAAAUUCAAUCUGUACAUUAUAUGUGUAUCUUUUUUAAUUGAGGUCCUUCAAAGCAAAAAAAAUAAAAAAUAAAAAUGGUGGGGAAAAAGAGUGAACUAAUGCAAAUGGGAUUUCAAAUUUCAAAUUUUUUAAAGUUUCACUUACCAUUAGAAAAAAAUAAAAUAAAAUAAAAUUUGACUAAAAUAUUAGGUCCUUAAUUUGUAAUUGCCAUUAUGCAUAUGGGAUUUUGAUGUGAAAUAUUGUAGCUGUAAUUAACGAGAUAGGUGUUGAUUUGUUCAACUUUAUUUUCUCGCUACUACAAUCCCCGACUUCUAUUAUUUAGGUAGAUUGUAAUCAUAUUUUAAUUUCGUAUUCACUUCUUCGAUAAAUUUCGUAUUUUAACCCAAAAAAAAAAAAACAAAAAAACAAAAAACAAAAGCAAAUGUCUAUUUGAACAUAAUUGUGAUAAAUAAUAUACUUUUAGAUUUUUUGAGUUCAUUAUUGGAUAGAAAUCAUUGAUGCAAAUGCAUUGAUUCUAUAUUAUCAUCAUUGUAGGAAUUCCCCCUUGCUGGCUGUCCCUAUCUUAUCCAAGUCAUGGAGUAUUUUCCACCCUUAUGUUAUGGAUGAAGAUCAAGUUGCUUUGAACUCCUAAUACUAUGAAUUAGAGGAGAUCAUCAAUAAUGGUAAUUAUUAGAUUCUUUUGCGAUACACACACACGUGUAAUAUACAACUAGCAUAUACUGUACCGAAACAUAAGAUCAAAAUGAAUGCAAGACCAUUCGAGAGGAUGUCCAAGAUAAAAAGGAAUGAGGGAAAGAAUCAACGAAAAAUCUAUAACAUAAAUCAUUAAUAAAUAAAUAAAUGAGCGUGAGGAGAAUUCUCAACUAGAGAUAUUAGAAGGCCAAAUGUCAAUUGGUGUUGGAUCUAGCUACUACAAUUGCUUUUGUUGAGCUAAUAUCAAUAUUUGAAAAUUUCCUUAGUUCCUCAUUUCAUUUCAUGACCGUGAAAUUCAUCAUCGAUACCCUCCAAACUUUAGCAUAGAAAUACUCAUUCUUCUAGUUAGAUAACCGCGUGUGGUUAUUCUUUUUCACUAAACUGCCCUUAAAAUACCAAUCCCUUUAUUAAUUUAUGAGAAAUUAAGGAACCAAUUAUGACAACGGUAAGACACCUAAUUUGAUCCCUCUUGAACAUCUAUAUGCAUAAUGGUUUAUUGAAGCAAUACAUAAAUAAUUGCAUAGAAAAUAAAAUUCUUACUUCUUACAAGAAACUCUCAAUUUGACUUGUUCCUAUGUUUUGGAGUAACCUCCAAGAAUGAGCAUUCCUUCGUUUUGGAAGUGGUUCGUCAUAGUCAAACUUGACUCAAAUUUUAUGCAAUUAAAAUAUAUAUAGUUCAAACUAACAUUACAGUUGAAAAAUUGAGAUACUUUGGAAAUUCAUCUAAAUUUUUUAAAAUAAUCAAGAUUUAAAUUCAACAUAACUUGACUCGACUCGACUCGAUAUCUAUGCACCCUAAUAAUAAAUAGUCAGCUCUUUCAUUAGCAAUCGAAUAGUUGUCCUAGAUGAUAGGUGAGUUGAAACUUUUCCUUGAUUUUUUUUUUUUUGGGUGACGGAGUACUUUUUAUAUAAUUUUGGUAGUAAAAAAUGCCAUUGCUAAAAUGAGGUAUUGAUUUAUAGCUCAUUACAGUGUCUAUGCUUCGUAGUAACAAUUGAGUUUCUAGACAAUGGAAUCAAUUUGUACGACUCAUCUAACUCAAGCAUGUACAUAUUAUUUUUGGAACAUGUUCAGCGAAAUUGUUUUGUCUAUUUAAUGGUGAGUUUGGCAUCUGAUGAUGUCUACCAGUGCAUGUUACAUUUCAGAUCUAUCAAAAUGAUUGAGGAAAGAUCGUACCACCUGGCUUAAAUAGUCUUUUAUUAAUGCAUUGAAGCAUAUGCUUGCAACAAUCCAUUGUCUAAUUGGGAAUCAUGAAGGUACGAGUCAGGUUAUGUCUCGUAUAUUUAUUACAAAAAUAUUUCUAGUAAAAUAUACGUAAAGCCGAAUAUUUAUAUUACAAAAGUUCACAAAUUAUUUUUGGACAACUAGUCGAGAGAAAAUGAAAGUCUAUAAUCUUCAACUGAAAAUAGAGAAAAUUUAAGAUUGUGCUAUAGAUUGUUCGUUUUCGACGUUUAAUCUAGUUUAUAGGGCUGAACAUUAUCUAGUUUGGUUCAAUUCUAACGAAAAUCGAAUCGGUUUUGAAAUUUUCGAAUAUUCAGUAAGUGGAACCGUCGAGUCCAAAUUUAAUUAUGGAACCGUUCGAUUUUGGUUUGGGUGGGUUCGAUUCAGUUCUCAAGUUUCGUACUAUAGUUAAAUUUUUUAAUAUUUACAAAGCUACAUUAAUUCAACUAAUAACAUGUUUAAUAUUAACUUUUACAAAAUAACGUUGUUCAAUCUUGUUUCUUUUGCGUCUAUUUUUAUUGAAUUCUUUAUAGAUUUAAUUUUUAAAAUCAUAGGAAUAGGAAGAUAGUUAGCUCACAAUAAUUAACAGAUGAGUUGUUGAGUUUCAAUUCAAUUUCACGAGAACGGUAGAAACGACACUAUGGUAUAAUAACAAAUUUGGGUAAAAUUUAGGUCAAUUUGAUUAAGUUGGACUUAGACUGAAAAUUAGAAACAGUAAAAUCAUAUUUUUGAGUUUGAGCUAAAUUAGCUAGUUAGCAAAUAUAUUUAGAAAAAAUAAUUUAGUUUAUUUAAAAUAAAUUAAUUAAAAAAAUUAAGGAGAUUCGAUCAAGAAGUUAUCGAAAAUUUUCUCUGAGAAUUUAGUUCAAGGGACAAAUAGCCUGGGAGAUUUUCCACCGAAUAUUGAGGAUGAGGCUUGAACUAAUGACUUCCACCACGUCAAGGUGACACUCUACGGCAGGGUUAUAUACUAAUUAAUCGAUAUUCAUAAUCAUUCCGAAGUAACAUAAAGAAAAGCAAUGAUUGGAGUGGGAGCAGUGAAUCCUCAAACGACCUAUCUAAGAUUAGGGAGGGGGGGUGGGGGGUAAAGUAUUCGUUUGUAGUAUUGUCAUUACACAACCUAGUCCACCCCUAUUUUCAGAGUUCACACUCUGAUCUAGCAAAUCGACUUUUCAGAUUAGUUUCAUAGUUUUGGACAGGACAGGUAGGAACCAGGGUGUCAAGCGUCUUUGAUUGAAGUUUUUCUAUUUAGAAUCGAGUUAGAUCUAAAUCCCUUACGAAUGACAAGGUACUCCUUUACUUUCACUUUUCGAUUCUUGAUUUAGAAUAGAGAAUCAAACCAAAUCCGUCGAUUUUCGGUUCAGAUACUCGUUACAAUAUUUAACUUAAAAAGAAUCGCUCGAUUUGGUUCGAUUCAGGUCUGAUUCAAUCAGUUCGAUUCUGAAGUUUUGUCUUGCCUUAGUAGUUUGUGUUAAUUUCUAUUAAGGGGUUGUUUGACCCCCAUUUUUUUUUUCUCCAAAAAAUGCAUUUUCAAAUAGUGUUAUGAUGAAAAUAAGGAAAAAUUUUGAAUUUACAUAUAAUAUUAUUUUAUUAAAAAAUGCGUAAAGUCAAAUCACUAUUGAAAAAUGUAUAUUGAUGAAAAAAUGGACCUCAAACAAAGGCUAACCCUUUCUCGGCCAUUCUUGAUUCACUUGUUAUCUCUUUACUUAUUUGGGCCAAAAUUUCUGGUUUUGGAUCACACACAGAGGACCUGACUAUUGACAACAUCAAAACUGCCCUCUUUUCAUUAAAAAUCGAUAUUUUACAUGUACCUCAUUUUUAAUACACACACCCACCCACACACCAAUUCAUUAUUGAAAGCCUGAAACCAGACCUAGGUUCCCUUCUAUAAGGCUAUUAAUGAGAAUCUAGUUAAUCUCAAAAAUGACCUUCAAUUGGAAUAAAGGAUAGUUCAAUUCUAUUUGAUUUGUAAAAAAUACUUGUUUGCUAAGGUGACAAUGACUUUCUUGGACUUCUGGCAUCACCGAAAGGAUCGAAACCACAUUUGUAGGCCAACAAUUUUUCUGUAUAGGUAGAACUAUUGCAAGAAAAUAGAAAAGGAAGAUCGAGUGGAAUCAAAAAAACUAGCGAACUGAUCACUGAAUUGAUACAAAUAGGUGAAAAUUCGGAUAUUAUAUUGAAGACCAUAUUUCAAUUUUUCGUUAAACAUCAACAUUUUUUUACGAAUUACAUGUAAGGGUAACUUGUGGGUUACUCAUAAAGUAUUUAUUAAAAUAUUAUUUAAAAAAGAUGUCUUUUAAUCGAAACACAAUGUCAUAGAAUGGUGAAAGUGAAAUUUGAUAUUAGAUUGAAGUUCAACAACCAAAUUGAAACGAAUUAAAGUUUAGGCAUUGAACGUUACCUCAUAGGAAAUUUAACCAGAUACAAAUAGAUGUCUACGCGGUUGGGGGGUGGGGGGUGGGGUGGAUAAUAUAGAACAUUUUUCUAUAAUAUAAAUACUAGUAUAUAAUUGCCAUUUAAAAAAGAAGUAACAUGUCUAAUACAAUGAAACCAACCUAACACAAGCCUUUCAACCAGAAGAAUAAGAAAAUGAUAUUGAUAAGCAAAGUCCUCUGCAAAUAUUACACCAGUAUUCAAACAACAAUCAUGUACUCGAAACUUAGAACGCGAUUUGCAAAAAUCGGUCAUGUACUCAAAACUUGGAACACGGUUUGUGAUAUGCACAUAUUUGUUCGAGGACAGUUGAGUAGAAACGCAGUUUUUUCUUUUAUUCACAUUUAACCAUAACAUAUAAUAUGCUGAUUAUGUUUAUAAGGACAGUUGUAAGCAGUAAAGCAUUCACUAUCCAUUCCCCAUCCAACUCUCCUACAAAAUUUAACAAGACUAACCCAUUGCUCAAGACAGUUUAUUGCCAAAAUGCCGCGGCAAUCUUCUUCUGGAUAAGCUCAACUCCAAGGCGAGGAGAUAAUCUCGGAAGUGUCUCCUGCAACAGAUGAGAAGAUUUGUGUGACUUUCAACCUUGGAUGACUGCCGUGGUCAAAAGGAAAUCCAAGUGAAGAUGUUAAACACAGAAAUAUUUCAGUAAUUUAUCAAUGCGGCCGAAUCAAAAUUCAGAUGCUGAAAACUCGUACUGACAUAAGUAUCAACAAAGACCCCUGUAGUAACUGAAGGCCCAAUCCUUCUCUAAAGCUGUAAGUCGAACAGGACUAGCAUUUGAAUGUGAUUGUUUUUAAAAUGUAUGUGGAAGCCCCAUAUUUUUCAGGCUAGCCCUAUUCAUUUUGUCUAUUACAUCGUUGUUUCACUUUAGUCGACCCUUUUUUCUUUUCUUUCGGGCCAUAUUAGUUUGAUAGGAAUUCUUUUUUCAUAUAAGCUUAGGCAACCUGUCUAACUCCAUCAAAUACACUAAAUGGAAAAUUUGACAUUGCAUGCUGACAUGGAAUGAUUUAUUAUUUCUACAUGUCCAGGUGCACAAGAGUGGAUCGCAAAUUAAAGUUGGUGACCAAAGUGAAAUCGAUCUUAACUAUUUUUCUAAAAAUGGCGAUGGCAAAUGAAAAUAAAAAACAAAACAAAACAAUAUCCUCUGCUAAUCUAUUGGUCAGAAGAAAUAGAUGAAGGAUACUGAGUACUAGCAAUUAUCUUCCUCUCAUUUAUAGUGUGGGUGACGAAAAUAGGAGGCAUGUUAAAUUUGGCGAGUAGGUUUGUAAUGGUUAUUAUAGUCAUCAAUCAUUUUUGGGUACUUUUUCAUUCGGCAUGGGGGAGAGGGGAGGAGAACAGAGAAUGUUUAGCGUCCAUAAUAUAUAUACAAAUAAAAUAUAGGAUUAUCAUUAGUUGAUGAGUCUAAUACAGCUGAGAGACGUUCAGUUCACCAGAUCCGAUUGAGGGGAUCAUCAUACUUUGAUUACAUGGUACCGCGGUAAUAAAAAGGAAUUCAGAGGUGUCUCUCGCAACAAAUAAAGCAUGAAAGGCUAAUGCUUUAUAAUACCAACAAGGUCGAGCAUUUGAUUAUACUUGAUGGACUUAUAAGUUAUAUCUUUAGUCCACGAGAAAUAUGAUAAAAUUCCAGAUGUUGUACAGAGCACAAUAUGAAUCGGACUGUACAGGAAGAAAAAUUGUAGCAAUUUGAGAGGGAUAUGUGUUUGUACCUACAACAAUUUGUGUGAUGAUUCCAUUCCCAAUCCCCACAUGAAUUGCCAAACGUUUAAUUACACAUUCUCCUAAAAAUCACUAUUCAAAACAUUGUUUGUCCACAAUUUAUACAUCUAAAAGUUGAUUUAGUAAGCCUCAUUCCACAACAAUACAUGACUAAAUGGAAUAUAAGGCUCAACUGGACUGCUUAUUGACAUGAGCUUCAUUAUAACGAGUAGAGCUCCCAAUUUUUCACUUUUUGGUUUAGUUUCACGUUAAUUUUCCAGUAGCAGAUAAGACUUCAAAUUUUGUUAAAAUGUCUUUUUACAGAUUUUUUUAAAUGGUUCAUGGUUUAUGACGAAUAUAACUGUCUAUUUUAUAGCUUUAAAAUUUUGGGUUUACAUUGGUACUUGUGUCUUAAAGCAACUCAAGGCUGCAUCACCAUGGGAAGCAUAACGCCUCAAUUCCUGACUUAGCCUUUUUUGUACACUGAUUAUAUCUAGCAGUGUUUCCAGCAUCUAAUUGCUGAGACAUGAAUCAUGAAUGGUUUAAUUCAAUUUCUCAGAAGCACUUGCUUUCUAAGGUAACAACACUUUCUAAUUUCUUGAGUUUUCAUAUAGUCGAUCCUAAGUAGUUCUCCAUCUAUUGCUACAUUACUCAUUGUCAAGUAUUUUACCAGCAAGGUUCAUAUCAAUAGUGGACUUAUAGAGACGGUACAAGACGACACAGCGCUCCUGAGUUUCCAGAAAUUCUAUAAUUUCCCAUUAAAAUAGUAAUUUUUUACAAUAUCUUUAGGAAAUUCACCUCUCAAGGACUGUAAUCAUCCUCUUCCCUUGUUCAAUAGGAAGAGAAAGGGAGCUAAAUUCCACUAGAUACCAAAUUCAAAACAUUAGAUAAGUUUGACUGAAUAUUUGAAUAAAACAUAACAUAGCUCCCUCGAAGAUAUGCAAACCUAAGUCACCCUCCAGUUGUAAAUCGUGGAUCCAAUAUUGGAUAGCUUAACACAUGGUAAUCAAUUGUCUAUGUUGGAAUGCUGCUUCACUUUAGCCCAAUCUAACGUUCUGAUUCAUGUUGAUCAAGUCUAUGCAGCAGUCACCACUUUAAAGCAGUGCAUCUACUAGACGUGAUUGGACAAUAUAAUUUACAAAAGCUGAUUUCUCUUCUUUAAUAUUGUCCAGCACUCAUCAAUCAUUUUCAACAAACAUGCCACGGGUGUUAUUGUACAAAUGUUCGUAUUUUUCUAGAUAAUUAACAACUCAAAGUUGUUAAAUUAACAGCAAAAAUAAAAAAACCUGAACAAAAGAAAUGAUAAUUAAGAAAGUAAUAACUAACCUCAGUGCCAUCAUCAUGGAUUCUUGCCAAUACCGGUAUCUCAUACUGGUAAAGCCUCUCCCAAUCAGGAUUACUUGUAAUAUCUCUUAUCUGCAAAAACCCAUAUCAAUUGUUAUAUGCAACUGAAUUAGCCAUAACACAUCACAAGAUUUGUAUUCUGAACCAGGUGCAUAUGAGACCAAACUGCUCAAAGUCAAAGGCUGUUCACUCGGCGAUUAACCAACACUGGAGGUAAUUCUGUUGAUAAUGGUUUUUUAUCAAAUCAAUUCUUCCAUGCACUGGGUGUAUUACACUAGUAGUUCACUAUGUCGGAGAGAACAGAUACAAUGUUUUAAUGUCCCGAUACAUGAAAGAAUUCAAACCCCGUAUGGUUGAAAAAUAUUAUAACCACAUCGGCAGAAUUCAAGCUUAAAACUGGCUAACGAAAGAUGCGUGCUCCUGUGCAUACAAGCCCUCAUGCGAAUAAUUAGUUUAACACUUAAAAUCAGCUUAUAGUAGGAAACUCCACGUGUCAUUACAAUUCACAUAACCACUCUCCUACCAAAAGUAGCCCCUAUAUUUCAAGGGUGAAAAACUCCCUACCCUAUACCAAUUGUUACAACCACAUGGAGUUAAACUCACCCACAAAAACAAUAUACAAGGGGACGGUGCCUCAGUGGUUUUAACUUAAAAGCACAUAAAUAGAUAAAUAGAAUUAUAGAACUCUAUCCUAACUAUCCCGGAAGGGAGAGGAGGCUGUAUUUGUAGCCAAAUGCUCAGACCACCGUCCUACAACAUACUUAGGAUCAGUGCUGCAAACUUUAACUCAGCAAAAUGUGAGACAAAAUUAGCGUCAUUACAAUCUAAAGAUAGUGGCUUUUCAAUCAGAAAGCUAUAAAAUUCAAAAAAUGGAUUAUAGUUGAUGUAAAACCUGUAAUUGGACGUCGUGGAGGGAAUUUUGACCAGAAAGAGCGAAGGCAGCAUCAAGCUUUUCUUUGAGGCCAUCGCACAAACAGCAUCCGGGCUUGGAAUACAUUAUGAGUGUUCUUGGCACUGCCGAUGAAGAUGAAGAGUAGGAAGAGGAUGCCGACUGACUGAAGAAUGCCCAUUUAGCAUUUUUCCGAUUCAGAUUUACUCCUAUUCUUACUGCAGGCAAUACUUGUGGUCUUACUACUGCAAUUCCCAUUGCAAUCCCUGCUGCCAUUUUUGCUCUCCCUCCCCCGGAUAAGGCGAUAACUGACACCUCUUUGAUUGAAAUCGCAUAGCGUCUUUGAAAAUAUAAAUAUGCGCUUUUAGUCGAAUUCUGGAGAAUUGGGCCAUCACGGCCCGCCUAAAGACACUAUCUUGUUGGGCUUGAGUGCUCAAAUUCAUAAGACCAACUUAUAAAAAUAUCCUUAAAAUUUAAAAAAAAUUAAAAAAUCAUAUGAAAAGUAUUUUAGAAGUAAAAAAUAUUGUAUAAAAUUAAUGGUCACUUUUUUGUCAUUUUUUAUUUAAAAGUGACAUUGUAUAUAAUUUUUUUUAAUAAUACAAUGUCACUUUAUCAAAAAGUGAUAUCUGUCACUUAAAAAAUUCAUAUAAAUUUUAAAUAAGGGAUAGAAAAAACACUAAAAAUUAUGUCACUUUUCGUUAAAAAGGAUGACAUAUGAACACUUAACAUUAUUACAAUAUAUCUGCUCUGAAAUGUAAACAUUAUUACUUAUCUGAGUCUCAUUUUUUCUAAAAACUCAAUCAUGAGGAGUAGAUCAGUGGUCAAAUCUUGAAUUUACUUUUCAAAUGUCACCAGUUCGAGUUUCCUCAAGACUAUUGAAAUGAAUACCCACGAUAUUAAAAAAAAAAAAAUCUAAAAAUUCAAUUUUCAAAACUUAUUUUCAACCAAACAUUUUUCAAUAAAAUAAUAUUACACUCAAAUUCAAAAAAAAUUCUUAAUUUUUAACCACACAUUCUCUAUCAAUCUACUAUUCCAAACUAUAUAAUUUCUCUAAAAUGGGGCUCAAACAAGGGCUAUAAUAUUGAAUAAGUGACAAAAGAAUAAUGUUAUUUACAAUCUCGCUCUGUGUGACAUACAAGCGAGAGUUGGUGAUUUGUUGUAUAAGGUAAUAAAAAAUUACCAUAUUAAUAUACUAAAUCACCAAUCGUUAUAUGUAUGUCAUAUAGGAUGACUAUGAUAACGAACGAUUGUAAAUAACAUUACUUGUGACAAAAACAUUGUAACAUAUAAGAGCUUAAUGUAUUCAUUAUGUCACUUUUUUGUUAUGCCAACAAUAAUGCCAUUAAAUACCUCUAAAAAAAAUCUUAUUAUUUAUUUUAACCUUCAGUAGCAAUUAACAAUAAUGUUGCUCUGGCAGCUCCUCUUGUCAGGCCUUUUACAGGUUUUCAUGUGAUACGAGAUCAUCUCAUUAAAAAAUUACCCCAUAAAAUACCGACGUCUUACUUGUGAGUAAGCCUGUAAAAGUUCUGACAAAGAAGCAUGGUUUAACAAUUAAAUACCUAAAUGUUGUGUAAGUCGCCCACCGAAGCUGAAUCCUUUUCUUUCCCUAGUUCUCCCGCAGAUCUCUGAGUUAUUAGACGAAUCAAAAUCCACAGUCCCAUUGCUUCCAUUGCAAUUACUGUAAAAGCCCCAAGAAAUAUUGACAACAAAAGCAACACUAUUGUUACCUCCUUUUCAGUUUCAAUUGCUACUGCCGUCCUGUUACUAUUAUUAUAUGCAAUAAGCAGUGAAAUUGGUAAACCUUUGGUUCCCAAAGAGACCAAAUCACGUGCACCCAAUGAAACGUUGUUCAUUAUUCCGUCGUAACUUGCUCCUAUGAACCCUCUCUCCAUUCCCACUUGAACUCCAUUCCUGUUAGUAGCCAUGUUCAGGGUUUUGGAGGUUUUGAGGAUUUUAUAAUGUAUUAAUUACGUGCUUAAAUAAUUUAAUUAGUUAAAUUUUUAGAGAGUACUGGCCUAAGGCUCUCAAUCGUGAAGGUGUCUGUUAAUUUCAUUUUUAUAGUUUUUGGAGUUAAAUUUUGUCAGAUUUCCUAUUUUAUAGGACUUUGUUUCGAAUACGUAACUUAUUUAUUUUUAAGUUUGAUGAAAAGAUUAACUAUUUACUUUAUUUAUCUCAUUCUUACAUAAAUUUUUAGCUUUUGAUAGUCAUUUUUACAUAAAAAUACAUUUUAGAAUAGUAAAUUGAUGUGAAAUUUUUGGUUAAAAAAUAAGAAUUUUUUUAUUUACGUGUAAUAUUAUUUUAAUAAAAAAUGUGUAAUUGAAAAAAAGAGAAAGAAAAAUGUAUUUUGAAAAAAUGGCUACCAAACGGGGCCAUAGUAACAUUACUCAAGCCCUAGUAAACUUAAAAAAAAAAAAAAAAAAAAAAAUUAAUUCGAUUUGGAAAUAUUGUUGGUAUAAAGAUAUAAGGGUUAUCGUGCUCAGACUUUAGAGCAUGUUCGAUAGUGAUUUGAGAAUUGAUUUUAUUAUCGUUAGAGAGAAAAGUGAGUUCCACAUGUAAGUAAAAAAGUAAAAAAUGACAGCUAAAAUAAUGAAAUAACAAUAAAAAAAUUAAUUUUUUUUGAUGAAAAUUUGCUAUCAAACGAGAGCUUAGCCCUUGUUUGAUUACCAUUAAAUUAAAUUACAUUACAUUCCAUUUUUCUCUCUCCUAUUUUCAAUCAUACAAUCUUACAUAAAAUAAUAUUACACAUAAAUCGAAAACUUUACCUUCUUUUUCAACCACUCAUUUUUCUAAAAAAUACUAUUUCCCCUAUUACCAUUUUCAGGUAAUGGGGGCCAAACAGGGGCUUAGUAAUUCUUCUCAAAUAAGAUCACGUGGGCCAUGUUUCUUGUGGCCCUAUUUAUGUGGUAACAAUCGAUUAAAUCUAACAUAUCAAAAAAAUAUGUCAAGAAACAGCCGCCGUAUGUUCACAACGUGUUGAACUAACACCCAGCAUCUGUACUGAAAAGACGAGUUGGUUUCAUGGUUCAGUUUCCAGUCAUUUCAUGUUUCGAUCAUUUUGAGAUGAAAUUUUGAUUCUGGAAUAAUAAUAAAUUAGAGAUCUACAAUAUUCGUAGAAAUUGUUAAAAAUGGGAACAUUUGUUUGUUGAAUUUCAUUGGUCAUCUUUAACAAACAUAUUACUGAGAAUAUAAUAAUACAAUGAAUUACUUAGUAAUAACAAUUUUAGAUAGAAAAUAAUUAAAGCUUUUUUUAGAAGCUCUUUCUAUUUGAGAACUUAUCCAAAUCAAUAGAACUGCAACUACUGUUAGUGAAAAAUCUUUGUCUAUACAAAUUUUGGACGAAGUUUUUGAAUAGAAUUUUCUAUAAGUGAGAUGUAAUCACUGUCGUAAAAAAGUAUAGAAUAAAAAUAAGUAUUAAAUAGACCAUAUUUUUGUUACAUAAUGCUCUACAAUUAUUUCUUGGUAUUGUAAUUUUAAAAAGGUUGAACCACAUAUUUUUUUUACACGGAGAUUUGUUAUCGUGCUUUUGCACAGAGCAAUGAAACGAAUAGAAAGACGAGAAAAUUUGACUUUAAGUUUAGAUUUAUUAAGAAUGUUCUAGGGUUUUUGGUGGCAAUUCAUUCUCACACACCUUAUUGUGUGGUGGGAAUCUAUCAAACUCGACAUUGGAGUCUUAGCACGCAAGCACUAAGUUUUGUAUCAUGAUAUUGUCUUCCAAAUGCUCUAAAGCUUGUAAAGAACUAAUACUCAUUUUCCAUAUGCAUGAGCAUCAUAUUUCAAAUUAUUUGAGAUAUAAUCAUAAAUUUUGUCUAAUAAUAUAAUAUAUGAGAUUUGAGUCCUCAUACGAGUCUCUUCAUAUUCAAAAAUAGUAAUAAGAUUGUCUAUGGACUCACAUCUUUUGCUACUUUAGUUAAUGAGUCAAUUAGUUUGUUAUAUUGCAUUCCAUACUUUAUUUUGUUUGCAAAUCGCGAUGAGUUAACUAGAUAAAAGUUUCUCAUUAAUCUUUAAAAAAAUAAUAAUAAUAAAUAAAAAUUGAUACAAGGGUUUUUUGUCAUGUAUCAUAAAUUCAUGCCAUCUUGUAACGAAAUAUUUUUGUUGAUCUAUGAUCUAUGACAACUCCUUUUCUCUUUCAAACUCGUCGAAACAAUUCAUGUUUUCAUGGCAUGUGUUGAGUCUUUAUGUCAAGCCUAGCUCAACUUGCAUAAUGCCUAGAAUUUUUACGCCGGUACACUAAUGACUCUUGUGUUGUGAGCUUAGUUUGUAUAAAAUCAUCUUAGCAUACUUUAUAACUCUAAUAGAACAAAUUUAAAGUUGAAGGAAUAGAUUAAAGUGAAUUAACAUGGAGUCUUAUAUAUGAUUGUGAACGUUCUAGAAUUGUUUCAUUAAAUAUAACAAAUAAUUAAAUUAUAUCAAAUAUAUUAAGAAUAAAAUUUAUUUUUACAUUGUUGUUUGAUUAUGAAUUAUCUCAACUUUGAAAUUUAGAGCAAAGCAACGUUACGUGCACACGGUGGUGGUUCAUAGGGUCGAUACAGGUCACACAUAAGAGGUGGGGUGGGUGGUUCAUUUUUGAAAAAACAAAAAAACAUCACAUGGGAAGCCCACAUGAGGGUCUGUAAAGACCUCGUCAACUAAUUCCCUAUUCAUUUCUAGCAUGAGUAGUAACAUCACUUCAUUAUAAGAGUCAACUUAUUCCAUGUGCUGUUGGUGUGGAAUCAGUGCUGAUACUGUAACUAAGGUAUUUAUCAUGUUUGGCCAGGUUAAAAUUACUUUAUAGAAUAAAUGUUGGAUUUAUUCUAUAUUAUGGGGAAUAAAAUUAUAUGCCUAACAGUAUUUUACGAUCUCCAUAAAGUAAAAUCAGCAAGAGAAUUUCUAAAAUUCGGUACGUCAGUUUUCAUUUUCCUUUUUCUUUUCCAAUAAAAUAUUAAUUUACUUAACAAAUGUUGGAUAUAUCUUCUUUUAUUCUUCUCUUUCCUCUAUUAUUCUAAAAAUAUUCUACUUUAUCAAAAUUUCUGUGUUUUGUAACAUUUCUAUGCAUCUUAUUGAGCACAAUUGCUUGCUAGACAUCAGUAUAUUUGGUGAAGUAUGUUGGACAUAAUAUAUAGCAUUAAAAAAUGACAAAAUUAAAACAUUUAUUUAUUAUAUUGUUCAAUCUCGUCUAGUUAUACAUACGAAACAUGCGCCUAAUCUCUAAGAGUAUUACUAUAUCAUAUAAUCGACAUUUUUUUGGAAUUGUAUGGGGGCAUUUUCUUAAGUGAAACUUAAAGAAUAUAGAAUAAUAUUGUUUGUACAAAGUGCAAAUCAUCCACAUCAAUAUUAUUUGAGUAUUUGAAAUUUUGUAUAUUUAGGCUCUGUUUGAGCCCCAUUAUUUUCUUAUUAAAAUGAAAAAUAUGAUCGUUAUCUAUCACAUCAAGUCAUUAUAUUUGACUUUUUAUCUCUUGUGCGAGGUCCAUAACGCUUAUAUUUUUUAUUCUCAUUUUUAUAAUAAUGUGGCUCAAACGGGGGCUUAGAAUAUGAAAUUAUCAAUAAAGUCCUCUUCGAAGAUUGUUUUAGAGAUAAUUGCAGCAGAAGUCCCAAAUCUUGGAAAUACUAGCAGAUUUUUCCCAAAUCUUUGAUUUGUUGUAGCCCCCUAAUAUUUUCAAACGUUGCAUGUAAGGCCUUUUUGGAAGGUUUUCAUGCAAAAUUUCAUCAAUUGACCAAAAAAAAAAAACGAUUUUGACCACAUUUGAAUAAAUUUUAAAUGGAUGGAAUGGUAACUUUACAUUAAAAUAAAAAAUUUAAAAAUAAAAUUGGUCUUCUUCCCUAACCCACCCCAAAUCCACCCUCACCCCACAGGCGGAUUGGAAAAUUGAAGCACUAAAACCAACCCACAAAUGCAGCUCUCCUUUCAGUGUUGAUCCCUUGGAAUUUCCAGAUCCUAGUAGGGUAGGGUGGAUUAGGAAAGAAAAGAUCAAUUUUAUUUUUUGAUUUUUGAUUUAAAAUGUGAUCAAAAUCAUUUUUUUUUGGUCAAUUGAUGGAAUUUGGGAUGAAAACCAUCAAAAAUAGCCUCACAUGCAACAUUUGAAAAGAUUAUGAGUGACAGUUACAACAAAUCAAAGGUUUGAAAAAAGUCUGCUAGUAUUUCAAAAGUUUGUAACUUCUGCUGCAAUUAUUGACCUUGUUAUUAUAUAAUAUUAAACUUCUAUUGAGUGCAAAUAAUUUAUUUAUUCUUCGGAUUUAUGUGUAAGGACGAGAUAACUAUAGGCCUAUCUACAACUAUUUGAUUUGCUUAUUAAAAAAAUAAAAAUCCAAUCAAAGAAAAUUAGUCAUGUACCUAAUAAACAAGAUAAAUAUGAAUGGCAUUUUCAAGGAGAAUGCACUCAUCAUCCCACAAUCCUACAUGUAUCACAUAGCACUAAUCCCUAAUAAAUAUUUGGUGGUCAUUCAGCAAAAUAUAAUAAAAAUAAUUUAAUUAUGAGUGGUUCAACAUAGUAUAAAAGCGGUAAAAAAAUUGAACUCAAGUGGCAUGGGCUACAUAGGAAAAUUGUGCACUUCUAUUCAAUAAAAAAAAUUAGCAUGACCAUUCAUAUGUGAAAGGACACGUUUAGAGUUAAUUUCAAAACAAAUAAUUGUACUGCCUUUAAUAGUUUAAUUUUUUAGUUGAAAUAGUUAACCAAUAACAAAUUAAACUUAGAAAAAUAUUUAACAUGCGGUGGAGAUUCAUGUUAAACUAUUUAUCUUUCUUUUAGGAUUAUUUUAAUUAGUGGAAAGAUUCUAGUUUCUUGAAUUUGAUUCCUAAAGGGGAGUAGAGUUAGUGCGCCAAUUUACAAGAAUUAUUCGAUCUUUUUUGCUUUUGAUUUGUGUAUAAAAGCCCAAAACUUCUCAUUUUUGUAUGUCCUAGGCAUUUACAAUUGUGUAUAGAAAAAUUAGAGAAUGAGAAUGGGAGAGCAAUCCAUAUGGGGGAUUACAAGUAUGGCUUUCAAUAAGUUGAAGCCCUAUUUGGCCAUAGUGUCUCUACAAUUCGGCUACGCUGGAAUGCACAUUAUCACCAUGCUUUCCUUCAAGCGUGGGUUCAGUCACUGGAUUCUAGUCGUGUACCGCCAUGCAGUUGCCACGAUGGUUUUUGCGCCUUUUGCAUUUUUACUCGAAAGGUCAGUACAUCAUUCAUAUAUAUGUGCAUAAGUGCAUGUAUGCCACGCAUUUUAGUUUUAUUUCUCCUUAUAAUAAAAUUCAUUUUUCUCUCUGGGUGUGUGUAACAAUGCUAUUUACAUGUUAAUUUGCAGGAAAAUAAGGCCUAAGCUAACCCUAUCAGUCUUUUUGAAGAUAAUGCUGCUUGCUUUCCUGGAGUAAUCUUCUUGAUCACUUCACUUAUUUACUACAAUAUAUUGCUCUUUUGCGCCAUUUACAAGAUUUUUAUCUAAUAGUAUAGUUCAGUCGACCUUAUCUGCAUUAAAUAAACACAAUAAAAACGAUUAGGCCGUAUAUGACCAAAAUUUGAACUUAUUUGUCAUUUUUGUAUUAUCAUCAGGCCUGUCCUGGAUCAAAACUUGUAUUAUGUUGGAAUGAAGUAUACAUCAGCAACUUUUACAGCAGCAAUUGUCAACGUUCUCCCAGGCAUCACCUUCAUAAUGGCUGUUAUUUUCAGGUAUAUCUUUACUUUCCCAGAUUCAUUAACAAAACUUUGUAUUAUACUAGUUUGACGGGGUUCAAAGGUGAAAAGAGAGUUAGAUCGAUGUGCACGGCAUAACUUUCCCCUUUUUUUGUGUAUUUAUUCUUAGUUGAGUUUGAGACGACAUCAACCAAAAUAUACUAAUUAAAAAAUGGGAAAAUUGUAGCAGUGGUUCCAAACCUUUUCAAUUUUUGAAGACUUUACCCUAACUUUCACUUUGUGUCAACAAAGAUCCCUAACCUUUCAGAAAUAUGCACCUAAGGUCCAAAUUAAUGGAAACCCAUCCAUAUGAACUUUAGCUGACCAAUAAAAUUGAACUUUGAACAAUUUUGACUAAUUUAAAAGUGUAAAAGUGUAACUUUGCUAUUUAACUCUAUAAAAAAAUUAAAAUAAAUAAUCAAAACAAAAUAAAAAUAAUAAAAGGAAAAAAAACUAUUCUUCUCACACCCCUAGCCUCCCAAAUCAACCUCUUCAUUAGAAUUGUUACUUCUCCAACAUAAAGAAUUUCCCACCUGAACCUUAUUUCCCUCACAAUACAAAUACCCAUCUUCAGAUUUUGUGAAACAAUGCUAGAGAUUCUGGGUUUGGAGCUCAACGAGAGACAUAAUUGCUCGUAUGCACAAAGAUGCAAUUUUUGAAGUAGGCUUGAGUUUGAAGGGUGAAAUGGGUUUUAUGGGAAACCAAGUAAAUGGGGAUUUCGGGGAUUUUAUGGAAAGGAUUGUUGGGGUUUGAGAGAGGAGGUUUAUAGCCGCCAUUGUUAAGAGAAAGUGAAGAAAAUGCAACCUUUACACAAAGAAAGAUGAUUUUUUGGUUUUGGUUUACGGUGGUGGCUGGCGAUGGCCGGAAGUAGCAGAUGGUCGGCGAGUUGUUUCUAGAUUUUGGUUCUUUCUUUUUUUGUAGGUUGGGGGGGGGGGUGUAGGUGAGAUGUGUAAGAAGAUGAUAUUUUAUUUUUAUCUUUUCUCUCUUUUUAUUUUGUUCUGUUUUAUUUUAUUUCUGGGUUUUUCAUUAUUUUAUGUAUAUAAUAACAACGUUAACAUUUUACCCAUUUUAAUUUGAUCAAAAUUAGUCAAAGUCCACUUUUGUUGGUUCAACUAACGGUCAAAUGGAUAACAUUUGGAUCCCAAGUGCAUAUUUCUGAAAGUUAGGAACAUUCGCUGGCACAAAACGAAGGUUAUGGUAAAAUCUGCGAAAAUUGAAAAGGUUUGGGAUUAUUGCUACAAUUUCCCCUUAAAAAAAUUUAGAAGUGUCAAAAUAGGCAGAUCGCCCCAAGCCGGGUUCGCCUGUGAAAAGUCCAAGCUGAUAACCAGUCUAGACUUGGCCCCUGAUGACAUGUUGCCCAUGUAGACAUUUUUAUCCAUAAUAAUAAUAAUAAUAAUAAUAAUAAUAAUAAUAAAUAAAUAAAUAAAUAAAUAAUAAUCAUUUUUAUUUUACUUUUACUAAAAUUCUUUUGAAAAAUGUGGGACCAAGCCUCUAAGACAAGCCAUCUGGAUCCAACCUACUCGUUUCGACACCUCAAGAAAAAUCAUAUUAUCAUUUCUUCAAAACUAUUUAUUGCCUCUAUUUGGGUUUUAUUUUCAUUUGUAACUAAAAAGUUACUUUUAAAGGAUCCACGGUAUUAUACACAUAUCGACCACUCAUUUCUCGAAAAAUGAAAGAAACCCGAACAUAAGCAUAUUAAAAUUUUGUGCUUUUCUAAAUAAAUUUUAAUCUGAUCACAUGUACUUCAUAUUUACAGGUUGGAAAAUGUUAACUUAAAACAGAUACACAGUCUAGCAAAGGUCAUUGGAACCGGAAUAACACUCUUAGGUGCAAUGCUCACGACAUUCUACAAAGGCCCUGUAGUUGAUAUUCUUCCCCACUCACUCGGCAGAAGCCACCAUGAAACUGCUAGCACCGUUGGCUCAGCCGAUCAACACUGGAUCACUGGCACAAUUAUGUUGCUUUCUUGUAUUGUGUGUUGGUCCGGUUUCUUUAUAGUUCAAGUAAGUUCUAUGUCCAUCCAGAUAGGAUUAGACAAGAUCAUUACGAAAUUAUAUCAAGUCCUAUCUAAUCGAGCUUAUCAAAUAUGUCGUUUACGUACACUCGAAUUUAUUGAAAUUUUUUCUUUUAGAUUUAAUUAAAGUUAAAUAUUGAUAUGGUUUGGACAGAAUAAGACACUGAAGGAAUAUCCCGCAGAGCUCUCUCUUACAUCAUUAGUUUGUUUCAUGGGAAUGGUGGAAGGUGGAGUUGUGGCUAUAAUAAUGGAACACCAUACCAAUGCCUGGGCAAUUGGCUUCGACUCAAGACUUUUGGCUGUUGUAUAUUCUGUGAGUAAAUUUCAAUAAUUAGGAUGAAAAGUAAUUUAUAUAUUCUCUUAAUGACAUGUUUGAUAUAGGGUUAUAUAUGAUAACACUGGACAAUACACUAUUUUGGCUUUAUUCCCUUUUGCAUAGUGUUGAUCAAUUGUUGUGAGUUCGACCAUUCCUACCCUAUCGGGAUGAAAAGAAUCAAACUCUACUCUUCCCAACUGGUGAAUUCGUGGGUGUGUAUUAUACAUAGUCUCAAAUCAAAGCGAACAUAAAUCUUGUGUGAUCUCGUGUGCAUUUUUUUCCAUGAAUUUUUGUUCUUGGUGGCAGAAUUAGAGUUUUUAAUUCUCAACAAGCAUUCAACUUUAUCAAACACACGACAUGCGUGUUGAGAAUAAAACUUUGUAACGCAUUGAGAGAAUAGAGCUAGACUAGGUGAAAAAAACCCUAAAACGGUCACGAAGUACGUACGGGAGCAUUCCCUAACAAAGCAUUAUAUAUUUUCAAGGAAUGCGAACAUUGAAACACUUUGUCUAAUUAAGUCAUAGUUUCAUGUCAAGAAUCAUAUCAUAAUAUGUGACAAAAUUUUAUGUUGACUAUCAACCUAUCGUAAUUAGUAAGUCUACUUCUUUAUAAGAUAUUGUAUCUAAAUAAAUGUACUUCAUUGCAGGGGAUUGUUUGCUCAGGAAUUGCAUAUUAUCUGCAAAGUGUUGUCAACAAGGCACGAGGUCCAGUGUUUGUGACUGCAUUCAGUCCUCUAAGCAUGAUAAUCACAGCUAUUUUGGGAGCCAUGGUUUUGGCUGAGCAAAUUCACCUUGGAAGGUAACUUUCGUGCUUGUAAUUUUGUUGAACAAGCCAAUUACUUUUAUUAUAUGAAGUUUCUUCGACAGGUAAAAUCUGUUUCAAAAACUUUAUACAGCGGCUAACAGCCGUUCACUGCCCUCGCUGUGUCCCUUGUUGCCCAACCCCAUAAGGGUUGGGAUUCCCCAAUUAAUCGGUGUUCGGGUUGAGUACGGGAAAAAUAGUCCCGUCUCGAAUCUUAUUAUUUAUUUCAUUAUAUACAAUAUAUUUAUGUUUUCAAAUUAAAAUCUUUAAGUUUAAAAAAAAAUUAGUUAGCAAAAAAUAUGAAUAUUUUAAUCUUGAUCAUGCCUCCUACCAAAUGCAAAGGAGAUGGCGACAAGGAGGGCUUCCUUGUCCCUGCCAUUGCCCAUCUCUUUUGCAAUCCCCACUCGUGGAAACACACACCAAACAAGUUGUACCUAACGCACACAUCAUCUGCAUACAUCGCACUCGUUAAUUUAGCGUGAGAAUUUUUAUCAAUUAUGAUCGUCACUUAUAUUUCUUGAUACAUAAUUGUUCGAUAAUUAGUAGUUAAAAAUGUGUGUAUAUUUGUACUUGCAGCUUAAUAGGAGCAAUUAUCAUUGUAUUUGGACUCUACUCAGUUGUAUGGGGUAAGAGCAAAGAGAAUUCAAACUCGGAUGAGUUAGUGUACAAGGAAAACAAAUCCCAUGAUGAAUUGCCAGUGGUGUACAAGAAAACAUCAAAUAUUCUUGACAAUGUCACAACUGAUACCAAUGUAAAACCAGAUGUACGUGAGAAUAAUUCCUUAAAUCAAGAGCCAUGAAAUAGCAACAUCGUCCCGUCCCAUCCCGUCCCAGCCUAGCCUAGCCCAGCCCAGCUCGUGUUGUUUUUACAUUUUUAGCCCAUGUUGUAUUUAUACCCAUAAAGGCAGAGUAAUUAUGUCAUAUAUUACUGACAUUUUAGCAUUGUAAAUUGGAAAUCAAAUGGGUUUUGGGGAUUAAAGAUCUUGGAGAAGUCAUAUAUCAAGUAUCGAUAUUAAUGAAGCAAGUGAAAUUUGACAGAUAAAUGUUACAAAUCCACUGCGCAAACUACAUACCGAAACUUGUGUUGUAUCCUUGUGUGACCUUGGAUAUACAUGUCUUUAUACAUUUUACUUUAAUUGAAAGCGGUGUCUUGCAAUUUGAUUUGAAACUUGUAUUCGUGAAGAUUGUGUCGCGGUUUGACGAAGAUUUGGAAGUUUCUGCCAUUGUAGAUUAUAACUAUAAUGAACAAUUUAGCUCCUAUUUGUUUUGGAUAAAAAUUAAAAUUUUCGUAUAUUGUGAUAAAAUUUGAUGAAAUAUUUAGUUAAAUGUUGAUAAGGUAUUGGAUCUCAUAAAAAUAUGUGAUUGAAAAUGAGUUUUAAAAAAUAAUAAUGAUGAUUGAACAGGGCUAAAAACACGAAAAGUGUGGACAGAGUGAGUUGACAGCAUUUGGUUGGAUUUAAUUUUAGAAAAUUUUCAAACCAUCCAUUCAUGCUUCUCUUUAAGGAUUAGGGGUCAAACAUGGUCUUAACUCUUGAGGGUUUAGGAAUGUCAAAGAUGAAAAAUAUUUUCGAUUAAUUUCAAUUGUCAAACAUUUUUGUCUUUAAAAUGAGUAUAUAUGGGAUCAUAUUCAAUCCAUGUUAUAUGAAAAAAUUCGAAAUUACUAAUUUAUCAGUAAAAUAGUUAAAUGGACCAAAAUGUCCAUAAUUGAAGAUAACAAAUCACGUGAUUUAUAAUACAUUUUGUAACACUUGUCAAUUUUUUUUUUAGCUUUUUUAUUCUCCUAAAGUUCAAUUAUUAUUUCAUUUUCAUCUAAUUAACAUUUUUUUAAAAUCUUUUUCAUUCACAUGUCCUACGUAAAUUAACGUGCAAUCUAGCAUUUUAAAUAAUUUUCUUCCAUUUGCAUUAUUUACUUUAAAAUUUGUUAGGAAUGCAUGUCUAAUUUUAUUAGUUUGAUGAUUAUGCACUUGUUUGAUAAAGAUUUUUAGAGAAGUAAUUAUUUGAAAAUAUCUUCUCUAUGAAUGUGUGAUUAAAAAUUAGAAAAGUUAUGAGGAAAUGAGAAAAAUAAUAUUUUGGGAGAUUGUAUGAUUGAAAACAAGUACGGAAGAAAAAUUAUUCUCAAAAAAUAAAAAUCGAACUAAGGCCCCUUUUGUGAGAAAGCUUCGUAGAAGAGAAUAAUGUAUAUAUACAUAUAAUGAAUGAGUAUUUCCUAUAUUUCACAAUAUUUUACUAACUUAGUAAAAUUAUUUUUAGCGAUUUGAUGUUAGAGCUGAAGAAAGGAAAAUAAUAAAUUUUAUUGUUCUCUCUCUCACACUCUCUCUCUCUCACACACACACACACAAAUCAUCCAAAAAAACAUUGAAAAAUCAAUACUCGGAAAGUGGUAUGCAAAACAUUAAAUUGAUGCUGGUGUAAAUCUUGACAUUUCUCGUAAUGCUUUAUAAGUAUGAAAGUAGUUUGUUGGAAGAUUUCGGCAAUUAAAAAUUGAAGUCUUCGAUGAAAGGGACCUAGGAAGAGUCACAUGUCGAGUAUCAAUAAUAUUGAAGCAAGUGAAAAUUUACACGUGUUACAAAAAUGUGGAAGUGUGUACAAAAGAUGGUACUAUAAAAAUGGAAAAUUUGCAGUAUUAAUAAUGUUGUUUAAACUUUAAAUAACAAGUUUUGAAAACUAAAAAAAUAAAAAUAAAAAUUGGGUAUCAACAUUAUAUUAUAAUUGCAAAACUAAUCAGUCAUAAAUUAGGAAACUUAUAAAUUUUUAUUAACUCUUUUGUGACCUCAAAUAUUCAUGAAGCUAAAUUUUACUUCUCUUAUUAUAUUGGUGCCUAAAAAUUUAAUUUUUGAUGUUUCUUUCACUCUCUUUUUCACGAAUGCCGAUCAUUGUGCUCAUGUGCAUGUUGAUUCUCCAAUCUUGCCCAACUCUCAAUUGGAUUUUCGGACAAAGGGUCAUAUCUAACUCUCAAUAUCAAUUUGAUCAAGAUCAACUGCUUUUCGAGUCGAAUUAAUUGAUAUUUGUGUAGUUUUGGGGUUUUUUUCAUUUAAAUCAAAUAAAUUGGGAGUAAAAAAUAGUAAUAUUAAUAACAGAGUUUGUAAUGGUUUUUAAUUGUUAAAAAAAAAAACGGUUAUAUUAAUAAAUUUAAGUGAUUUAGAGAAGAGAGGGUGGGGGCGGAGGAGAAGCAAUGUAAAUAUAAAAAGUAAUAGUCAUCUGGAAUAAAAUAAAAUUUUGAAAAAAUAAUUUAUUAUUGUAAAAUAAUGAGGUAAUUAUUGAUGAUUAUUUGAUAUUAUCAUGAUAUAUAAAUAACUCUUAUUUAGUUUAAAAUAUCUAUUUUAUUCAAAUUGUAACUCUUAUUUUAGACCCUAUAAAUAUAUGAUAUUAGUUCUUAAUAAUACACAUUUGAAUUUGACUCUUAUAUUCUCUUAUUCUCUCUUUUCAUAGUACUUAUCUAUUUUUAAUAACUUAAAUAAAAGAUAUCAAUGAAAUAUUUUUUUCAUAUGUAAAUUUUAUUUUAUUAUUAUUUUUUGACAGGUGAUAUCAAUUAAAUAUUUCAUUAACUUAACUAAAAAGUGAAAAACAAACGAAAGGACAAUCUUUCAUCGUGACGCCAAAAUUUAUUCGUCGACGAUGGCAAUUGAUGCUUUGUCGAUAAUCGUUGACAUUGUCUUACGUAUUUGCAUUCAAAUAAAAAUAAAUAAACAAAAGAAUAAAUUUACAUUGAUAACACUAGAGUUUCUUCAUUAGCGAUGGUGAUCGCUGCACUAUCUAUAGUUGUCGAUAAUGUAUGAUGGAGGUGCAUUCAUAAUAAUCAAGAUUAGUGAUUUUUAUUAGAACUAUCAACAAUAACCAUCUAAUGUCACCAAUAAAAAAUCUAUCCAUGAUCAUUUACUAUAUUUUUUUUUGUAGUUAGUAAACUUGUUAAGCUUUGCCAAACACUACAAGGUUAUUUCUUUCCUUUUUUUUCCCCCUUCCUCUUCUAAUCGAAAGUUACGCGUAAUUUUUUUUUCUAGUGAAAUAGAAUAGAAAUUAAAAAAAAAGUAAAUUAUUCUAGGGAAAUUAUAAAAAAUGUCACUUUUUUUACAAUGCAUAAAAAAUUUGCAUGUGCACCUAAUUUCAGAAAAAAUGUCACUUUUUUUUGUGAGAAAUAUCCAACUUAUUCUUCAUGUCCCCUUUUUUAGGAGCAUUUAAUGUUAGCUUUCCAAUCCAAUUAAUGUCAUGAUUUGAUUAGUUAAAUUUAUAUACUAUAAUCAUUGGAUAUAUUAAAAUUAUUAAAUUUAUAUAUUAUAAUCAUUAGAUAUAUGUAUAUUCUCCAUUUUUCAUGUUUCUAGCAAUUGAAGUUAUUUGAUUUUAAAUUUUAAAAAUCUGAUUUUGAAAAGAAUAUAAAUUUCGGAUCAAAAUAAAAAAAAAAAAAAGAAAAAAGUUAAAGGCGGUUAGCGGCUUUCAUGUUCACAGCUGCUGAAUUGCAACAGCAAAUACAGUCUCUGCCACAAUGUCGGUGCUGUAAACGAAAAAUAAAUAAAUUUGUUGUCCAAAUUUUCAUCAGAUUUGGGUGAUUGGAGAUGGAGGCCUGUUGUGCAAAUGAUUCAGAGGGUUAAAAUGUCCUAAAUUGAUAAUUUGCAAGCCUCUGCUUGAAAAUUAAUAUAUAAAGUAUUCAAAUGAUUCAGAGGGUUAAAAUGUCCUAAAUUGGCAUUUUUGAUAGAAAUUUUAAAAUGUGACAUUUUUGAUAUUGCACAGUCAAAUUUUGACACCCAAUGAAAUUUCCUCAUUAUUCUAUUUGGAGAUACAGGUUACUUAAAGUUAGUAUAUUUAGCCCUUGUUUGAGCAACAUUAUUUCCUUAAGAAUACAUUUUUAAAUAGUGUAUUAAUAGGAAAUGUGUGAUUAAAAAUAAGAAAAAGUUUUGGAUUUGUGUGUAAUAUUAUUUUAUUGACUAACGUGUGAUUAAAAUAAUGUUAAAUCACUAUUUAAGAAUGUAUUUUUUAAAAAAUGUGGGGCAAAUUAUUUUCAAGCUUAGACCAUUUUCAGCGCUGCACCAAAUUUUGCACCAAAUCUUUCAGCAAAUUAAAAUUCAUCUCCAACCAUUACACCAAAAGUUAUACUAAAUGAAUAGUGUUUAACUAUUUUUUUCCCUUUUUUGUUCUUUAUAAUAUAUUUAUUUGAAAUAUUAUUUAUUUAAUUAUUUUAUAAAUACAUAGUUACUAAAUAAAUUAUUAUGUUAAAUUAUGAAAAAGAUUAAAUUCAUUAAUAAAUCGUGUUUGUUAUAUUUUAAAAUUUUUUCUUCUUUUAAUUAAUUAAUUAAUUAUUAUUUCUUGCAUUUAAAAUAAAUUUUAAAUGCAAGUAAUAAUAAAAAUAAUAAUAAUUUAUUGUAUUUAAAAAUAGAUAGCACAAAGAUACAAAUACCCUUAAGCAAUUUAUUUGAAAAAGGAAAAUGAAAGGUAAAAAUGACUUUAGAUACCAAAAUGGUGCAAAACAAAAUUUGAUGUUAGAGGUGUUUUACACCAUUUUUUUGGGUGCAUUUUUGUGUUUUGGGGGUAAGCAUUGGAACUGCCCAGCAAAACAUGCCGUCUGAUAUGGCACUUGAUGAUUGGGGAAAGCUACAAAACUGGGGAAAUAUUGUACCAGCUUAACCCAAAAUGUUCCUCACGUCCUCUGGCUCAUUCUCUUUCGACUACUCAUUUCCACACCCCUUCAUCUCACCUGGGCCAAUGAUUUUGGCUGCCAACUGACGUCAGAGUGAGAUAUUUUAUCUGUAAGUAAUAAAUAAAGAAAAUGGCGAUGUGGGUUUUCGGAUACGGAUCUCUGAUCUGGAAAGCCGGCUUCCAUUUUGAUGAUCGCCUUGUCGGUUUCAUCAAAGACUACCGCCGUGUUUUCUAUCAAGGUUAGAAGAUAAUCCCCUCCUCGAGUAAAUUUUUUUGUAAAAUAGAGUAUUGGGUUCAAUUUAUCGAGUUAGGAGUAGUCCAAGUCAUCAAACAGAUGGAAUUGCUCUUUAUAGCUUUUUUGACUCUGAUACUCUGCGUUGAUUCUUGGGCUCUAUCUUUAAAAGGCUAAUCUUGUUAAGAGGUCUUGUAGAUUUAAGCAUAAAUCAUAUAUUCAAUGGGCUGGAGUGGAUUUCUCUUGAUGCUGACAGUGUGAUUCCAUUAACGUUGUGUGUGCCUGCGGGGAUCGAGAUGAUUAAACUUUUUGUUGGGUUUGAGUUUAGGGAGCACUGAUCACAGAGGGACUCCAGAGUACCCGGGAAGAACAGUCACAUUGGAGCCUGCUGAGGGGGAGGUUUGCGUGAGUUCUUUUUGACCUAUCUCUCUUCUUUUCUUGUGUUACUGUAACGGCUUUUGCAUUUUAAAUUAAUGGUACAAUAAGAAGAAAUUUAUCAAUUUGGCCGUUCUUGGAUAUAUAAUGGAAUUGUAUGUAUAAUGAAACAGCUAAUCUGAAAUUUUUAAUUGGUAUUAGCAUACUCUGUUGUUUAACUGGUACUCAAAUGGUAGUAAAGGACAUUCGGACAACUAACAAGAACACCAGAUGAUGCAGAUUACUGAACAACCAAGUUGAAGUAGCACAUAAGAGUUGAACUCUCGCCUUGGAUCAGAAGGAGGGGGUUCGAUUUCUGAGAAGUAUGUUCAUGGAGUAUUUUGAAUUUAGAAACAUCGAGCACUUUUGAGAUUUUAUGUGCGUGGGACUGGAUUUUGAGUUGUGAUUAGCUAAUAGCUAUUGCGAGCUUGUGAUCAAUGAGAAUUGAAGUCAUGGGUUAGAAAAUUCCUAUGAUGAUUGUUGGAGUUCGAAUUUGAAGUUAAGAUUGUUAAUCAUAACAAUUUUAAUCAACAGUGAUUUUUAAUUUCUGGACAUAUUUUAUGCAUGUGUGAUGUGUAUGUAUAUGUAAGUUGAGGUAGAAUGUCAUUUACAUAAAAUGUACUUAUGAGGGGGUCUCAUGGUCAUUUUUAGUAGCACUAUUAACUUGUGUUGGACCAUGUGUCUCUGUCCUAGUAAUAUGUAACACGCACAUGUUGAUCCUUGAUAAGAAGUCAAAGCACAAGAAAUUUUACUUAGAUUGGAGUUAACUUUAGAUGAUAACAGUUGUAUCAUUGCUGGUUUUACAAACAAGGAUCAGUGAUGGAUAUUUGAAUUGGAAAACAUUCAUUAUCUUAAGCAGUGUAUAUUGUUGAACAUAGACUGAAUCUCUAUGGAUAAUGUCAUAAUACAGACUUUCACAAUUUUCUAAAAUAUGGUUCUGGUAAGUCCCUGAAUCAUGAGACAGGGUCAUUAAAUCAUUCUUGUUGAACCUGUGUACCAUUUUCUUUGCGUGCUUGGUCUCUCUCGUCAUUAAUGAUUUGUUAUUUAAUUCUUUUCUAUGUUGUUUUGUGCAUGUAAAUUCUACCAAGUAUGAAUUUAGUAUUUAAAAUCCUUAUAAAAUGUAUGAACUUGACAAAUAUUUGAUAUGGAAGAUCAGUGGGGUGUUGCCUACAAGAUUAUCCGGAAGGAAGACCAGGAGGCUGCAUUGGAGGUAGGUUUUAACUUUUAGAAAAUAUAUAAAAUGUUGGAUUCUGUCUCUUUUAUGUAACAGUUAUUAAAAUUAUUUCUUUUUGGUGGUAAAUGAAUUCCUUCCAGUUGAUCUCGAUGAUAAAUUUCAAGAUAUGUCUUCACCUGUGCUUUUGAUUUUACUGGCUACUGUGACAGUAGAAGUUUUCAAAUAUUGGAUUGCUUCAAAGGAAAACCUCAGCAAAUCUAAGCACAAAGAAAACCUUCAAAAGAGGGCCUAGAAGUCAUAUAUGCUAUUUUAAUUUAAGAUAAUAGUCAAGCAAACAAAGAAUAAGACAUAAUAUUCUGAUGUUUCAGUUAUAGAUUGUUCCUUAUACCCGAGAGUUUGUAAUUUUCUUAAAAAAAUUACACUUUCAUGUCCAUUGUAUCAUUAAUAUUCCUAAUUCAUAUCUUUGUUUGGAUUAACUCUUCCCGUCUUAGAAGGGUGAUAUUAAAUGGAAAGAAAUCAUAAAACAAGCAAAGAAUGGACACUAGUGGUUCCCCCUCAAUGUGAGAUAUAUGUUUGCUGGUUUUCACUAUAAUGGAGAGCAAGAGUCCUAGGUUUCGUCACGCCUCUCCCACACCUGAAAGCUGCCUCCUAAAAUUCUUUGUGUAUGUAGGAAUCUCAUGGCGACCUAAUACAUGUAUGGAAUACAGGCCGGAUUGUAGUCGAGUGGAUAAGUGGAGAGUAUGAUUAGGCUCCCAUAGUCCAAAAUAUCGGACACUGAGAGAGAUUUGUUUACACUUCUAUUGCAUGUAUCAGUCUUUUCUUGUUCAUUAAGUACCUGUUUUCGGCUUAGUCCUUGUUUUCUCCCUUUCUCAAAAUGAAAUGCCUCUCUGCUACAUUGAAUAGCAUCUAGAAGUAAGGGAAAAGCAGUACGACAUGAAGGCUUAUCUUGACUUCUUCACUGUAAGUCUAAAGUUCAUCCAAUAAUUAUGUUGAUGUCUUCAUUUGAUAUUAUCUAAAACAUCAAAUUGUUGGAGCAAAUUCUGAUUGUGCCUGUACAUGUUAAAUUUUAUUUCAGAAGCCCACUGCUACAACGCCUGCAGUUUCCAAUGUAUUGGUGUAAGUUGCCCAAACCGCCACUUACUAUUGCGUAAAUCCUCUAGAGCAUUUUCGGUACACAAUAAUGCACCAUUUUAACUUUUCUUUAUUAGUACAACUUGAUACUCAGUAGCCCACCACAUAGAACAAGUCAAUAGAGAACUUGAUUGGAGGAUAAAAUACAUUAGAUAUUAACUUCUUUUCCAUUUUAAUAUUGACUAGUACAUUGCAGCCCCUUACCAAACAAUCUAUUAGAGCACAUUUGGAACAUUAGUAUUGGACAAAGCUACACACGACAACAAUCAAGAUUUUAAACUUCUCUUUCUAAUAUUUUCGAGUAUUGUGCAGUCUGUCUUACCAAACAAACCAUUUUAAUGUUAUAUUUGUGACAAUAGGCUAUUUCAGAACUUAAUAUUUUGAUUGUUUAGAUACAUAGCAUCUGCAGACAAGAAGCUCAACAAGAACUACUUGGGACCUGCUUCAUUUGAAGAAAUUGCAAAGUAUGUAUUUUAUUUCUCUGAGACUUAUUUUGCAUUUUGUACAAGAUGUUCUGUAAGCCUCUGUCAAAAGUAAUUUGGAUGUCAGCUCCAAUUAUCCUAGAAGAUGUUCUACUAAGCUUAAAAGAAAGUUAAACUAAAUUUCAAGCAAAUUUUCGUUACAAACUUGUUUAAUUACUUCACUUUUUCUUAAAAGUUGUAAAAGUUACUCUAUAAAGUAGGGGUUACUUUCAAAAUAAGUAAAUUAUUUCCAACUUCCACGACAGAAAAAUAAUAUAUUUUGAAAAUUGCUUAUUUGCAUAUAAGUCACUUAUAUGUAAUAUUUUUAAGCAUAGACAAACAUCCACUCAUUCACCUCUCUAAUUCUUAAGUCAUGGACAAAACGAACAUCAAAUAGUAAUAUUACAUUUUUCUCUAUAUAUUUUGAGAUAACAUUCUAUCUAUCAUUACAUUUUCAAAUAGGCAUUAUCGUGGUUGAAAAAAAUCUUAUUUUGAUUCAUAUUUUCGUAAAAUGAAUAUUAGUCAAGAUCAACAUUUAGGCACUAUAUCGAUCAUGAAAAAUCCAUGCAAACUCUGUAAAACGUAAUAUUCGGACAUUUUGUUGAUAUCUUACUAAUCUUGAUUUUUGUAGUCAGAUUGUUCACGCAGAAGGCCCCUCAGGACCAAACAGAGAUUAUCUUUUUAAACUUGAAACUGCACUUAUUCAAAUAGGUGAAGUCAUAUAAGUUCUUCUGAAUAUGACAAAACUUGUGCCAGCUACCUUCCCAUUUCCUUCUUUGUCUGUAUUUACAAGCAUGUUUGGUACAUUGGAUUAGAAUGUAUUAGAGACUACACUAAGUGAAUUGUCCCCAACCCUUUAUUUUCUUUUCUAGUCUAGGGAAGGGAGGGGAGAGGAUGAGGUUUGGGGUGGAGUGGGGUGGGGUCGGUCGAGUGGAACCUGUUGGGUGGUUGCAGGUUGGGCUAGGCAAGAAAUAUGACUGUUUUUUCUAUUUGUAUGUAUAUAUUUUUAAUCUAAGGGUAUAAUUGUCUUUUCGUGGCAACUUAACAAAUACUUGGACGAACCCAUUAGCAUCGACCACGAGACAAGUGCCUGGGAGUGGAAGGUUGGGGAAAUAUUAGAAAGACAAAAGUUGAAGACAAAAGUGCAAAACGGGUUUAAGGUUAAGAACAACGUUUGGAACACUUAAGUAUAAUUUAUCACCUAUCUCUGGUCUGUGAUCAUGUUGAGUCUUGUCCAAUCUAUCAAUGUACCCAUACGCCUGGCUCAUUUUACAAGGUAGAUUGUAUAGUAAGAGACUAAGCCCUUGUUUGAACCCCAUUUUUGUGAAGAAAAUGAAUUUUUGAAUAGUGUAUUGAUGGAAAAUGUGUGUUUAAAAAAUAAGGAAAAAAUUUUGAUUUGCGAAUAACAUUAUUUUAUUGAAGAGUGUGUUGUUGAAAUAAUGUCAAAUCACUGUUGAAUAAUGUAUUUUGGUUGAAAAAUGAGGCUCAAACAAGGGCUAAGUGUGUGUUUAAGUCACAUUAUUAUAAAAGAAUGCAUUUUAAAAAAGUAGGUUGAUAGAGAAUGUGUGGUUGAAAAAUAAGGAAAAAUUUUGGAUUUGCGUGUAAUAUUAUUUUAUUGAAGAAUAUGUAAUUGAAAUGAUAUCAAAUUACUAAUUAAAAAUAUAUUUUUUUGAAAAAAUGCGGCUCAAACAUGGCUUAAAUAUUGUGUCUCGUUCUAUCUGAUCUUAUAUGGUGCUAACUCCAAAACAUGACUUAUGUACUUUUGCUUAUCGUAUUUCAUUAUUUGCACUCUGCUCAAUCAAUGUUACUGUACAGGAUGUGAAGACGAACAUGUCAAUGAUCUUGCCGACGAAGUGAGGCGUAUAGUGUUAAAAAGAGGGACUGACCACUUGAUGAAGACUGGGGUUCAUUGAGCAUCGCAUGGACAUUGUUUUGGUAAUUCUUUAAAGCCACAAUGAAGCUUUAUUCGAAGCUCAGGCUAUUGAGAUAAUGAAAUAUAAAUUGACUUCUCUUUAUACUGUUUCUGCUUAUUUUCAUGCACGACUAAGUGUAAAUGUUAUGUACUAAUGAAGAAAAAGUGAAUGCAUGACUAAUAUGGUUCACGCUUUUAUUACUUCUUUUAUCGGAACUUGUAUGUCCUUUGCAUUAACGUUUGAUGUUAUUUUAAAUAUUAUUGUUUUCGUUUGAAUGUAUGGUUGAAAAUGAUCUUUAAAAAAAUCUUUUCCAAACAAACCCUCAAUAAUAUAAGUUAAUAAACUCGGCAAUUGAAGAACUCUAACCCAUGAUUAUUCAUUGUCAAAAUAAAUUUCUAUUUCCAAACUAUAAUUUCUUUAAUGUAUUGACUCAAUUUGCUGCUAAGCAAUUAUACUAUACCUUGAACACAUUUGUUACAUCAUAUUAAAUAGGAUUGCACGAAGAAUAAAUAAAUUGUUACCUUAUUGUUUAAUUAAUGGCGUUCAUUAGAGAUCAAUGAAAGUCAAUAUGUAAUCUCCAAAGGUCACCAUCGUUUUUAUUUAUUAAAAAUGUUUGUAGUCAACCCAUUUUUUGGGAUCCACAAGUAUAACACACUUAUCCACAACUUAUUCCUAUUUAUUUACAAUUUAUACAAUUUAUGAAUACUUGCCAAAAAUGCCACAUUCUAUAUGUCUUCUUGAACUAAAUAUGAUUAAGAAAUAUGAGUAAAUGAGAUGUUUGUUCAAUAAUUCUCUUUCAAUUAAAUUUAAAAAAAAAAAAAAGUUGAUCGUAAACAAAGAAAAGAAACAUGUGAGACACUUAUCCAUUUACCUUUGACAUGUAAACGGAACGUAUAUAAUUAUGAGAACGAGGUAACUGAGCUCUAUCAUACCCUAAUGUUCAAUUUAGCACCAUUUUGGCCCUCCAUUUUUUCAAAUUAAAAUGGGUGGAAUAAUAUUUUUUUUUUAAAAAUGAGUGGUUGAAAAAGAAAGAAAAGUUUUCGAUUUAAGUGUAAUAUUAUUUUAUGAAAAAUUAUGUGAUUGAAAAUAGGAUAGAGAAAAAUAAAAUUUAAUUUAAUGAGAGCUAAAUGGGGGCUUAAUGUGUGAGGACGACAUAUUUGAAUGAAAUUAAAUAUUAAAGACAAUAGAAAUGUUUAAUCAAUUAAUGUCCUAUCUAUCAUAUAAACACAAGCCAACAAAUUUCAACGCCAUUAAUGAAAAAAGUACAUGAAAUGUUUAGUCAUGCAUGCUUCUCCAAUCUUACAUGCAAUUUUUUUUUUCAUGCCUAUGAGAUAUUUUUGAUAAAGUAGGUUAAACAGUAAUGAGUGAUAUAAAAUUGACAUGUUAUCAAACCAUAAACUUCACAUCCAUGAAUCUUGUAGACUGGAGUGAUUAUGUUGAUUAUGGGAUAAGAAUCAGAGUAUCAUCAUACACUAUAAAACAAUUAUAAUUCCUGAAAAUCUUAGUUAUUGUCAAUACUUGUACCCUACAAUAUGUGUUGCUCUGAUUGCCUCUACGGUGACUUUUCUAGCUCUAAUGCCCUUUCUGACGAAAUUAUGGCUAAGCAAUUAUAAUGCCCUUUCGACAUUUUUUUUUGAAUUGUAUGGGGCAUUUUCUUAAGUGAAACUUGAAGAAUAUAGAAUAAUAUAGUUUGUACGAAGUGGGGAUCAUCUACAUCAAUAUUAUUUGAGUAUUUGAAAUUUUGUAUAUUCAAAAUACGAAAUUAUCAAUAAAGUCCUUUUCAAAGAUUCCUUUACGAAUAAUUGCAGCAGAAGCUCCAAAUCUUUGAAAUAAUAGUAGACUUCCCAAAACCUUUGUUUAUUGCAGUCGUCAACCUCAAUAUUUUCAAAUGCUGCAUGGGAAGCCCUUUUGAACGAUUUUCAUCAAUUGAUUAAAAAAAUGAUUUUGACCACAUUUUAACAAUUUUUAAAGGGACGGAAUGGUAACUUUACAUUAAAAAAAAUUAAAAUAUAAAAUUGGUUUUCUUUUUCCCUAACCCACCCCAAAUCCGCCCCCACCCCACAGUCGGAUUUGGAAAAUUGAAGCACUAAAACCAAACCACAAAUGUAGCCCUCCUUUCAGAGUUGAUCCCUUGGAAUUUUCAGAUAAUAGUGGGGUAGGGGAUGGGUUAGGAAAGAAGAAGAUCAAUUUUAUUUCUUGAUUUUUGAUUUUAAUGUAAAGUUACCAUUCUCCCUCUUUAAAAUUGUUAACAUGUGGUCAAAAUCAUUUUUUUGGUCAAUUGACGAAAUUUUGAAUGAAAACCGUCCAAAAGGGUCUACCAUACAACGUUUGAAAGGUUAGGGUGACAGUAAUGACAAAUCAAAGGUUUAGAGAAAGUUUGCUAGUGUUUCAAAACUUUGAAACUUUUACUACAAUUAUCCCAUUUCUUUAUGCAAGGGCUUUAAAGUGUGGCUAAGAAUUCCCUGUACAUGUAACAAAAACUUUAUCAAAAAUAAAAACUCAAUGAAAAAGAAAAGAAAACGAAGACACAUCCCUCGAAUUAUUAGUUGAGAAUUCUAUAUCGUCAAGGACCACUUUAUUAAAAUCUUUUCCUUUAGAGAAAAUGAUAUCAAAGUGAGUGGAGAAAGAUGGAAAAACUCGUUAUAAAUUUGUACAAAUAUAUUAAUUCCCACAAAAAAAAAAAAAAAAAUAGUGCUAGCGAUGAGGGAAAUGAUCAAUUGGUACGCCGUAAUUAAAAACUCAAUAGUGUUUGUAAUGUAAUUAUUGACCUCGUUAUUAUGUAAUAUUAAACUUCUAUUGAAUGCAAAUAAUUUAUGUAUACUUUGGAUUUAUGUGUAAGGACAAGAUAACUAUUGGACUUUGCUACUACGAUUUGAUUUAUUUAUUAAAAAUAAAAAUAAAAAUCCAAUCAAAAAAAUUAGUCAUGUACCUAAUAAACUAGAUAAAUAUGCAUGGCAUUUUCAAGAAGAGUGUCCACUCAUCAUCCCACAAUCCUACAUGUAUCACAUAGCACUAAACCCUAAUAAACAUUUGGUGUUCAUUUUGCAAAAUAUAAUAAAAAUAAUUUAAUAUGAAUGGUUCAACAUAGUAUAAAAGCAAUAAAAAAUUUGAACUCAAGUCGCAUGGGCUAUAUAGGAAAAUUGUGCACAUAUAUAUUCAAUAAAAAAAGGGAAAAAUUCAUAACUUAGGUGUAUUGUUUACACCAAUUCAAUUUUCAAAUCCUAAGUUUAAAAGUGCAAAAAUCAGGUAUUUAUUUAUUAAUUAAAAAUAUUUUAUUAAUUAAAUGUAAUAAGGUCAAUGAUACAAAAUUUUAUAUCACAAUUUAUUUACUAGUCACAUAUCAUUAAAUUAAUUAGUCACAGGUUAUUUCGAGGUCAUAAAUAAAUUUUUUUAUAGAUCAUCUAAAAAUUUAUAGGUCACAAUUUAUUGUGGUAGUCACAAAUCUAAAAAUUUAUAGGUCACAUAUUUUCAAAUUUGUUGAUGACAGUUAAAUAUUUGGUCACAUAAGUCGAAUAGUGGUCACAGACCAUCGCGAUUAACACUAUCACAUCGCUACUGCCAUCACGACCACUUGUGACCACCCUCACCCCGUUACCGUCGCCAAGGUCACAUGAUCACAGAUAACUAAAUAGUUGGUCACACUUCUCAAAUAAUGGUCACAAACCACUACCACCACCACCACCACCACCACUAUCGCAUCGUCAAUGACGUCACGGGCACUUGCAACCAUCCUCAGCUCGUUAUCGAUGCCAACACCAACACCAACAAAAACAAAAAUCAAGGCAACUACAACCAAUAAUCACCACCUUCGUCACUAGAAACCACCACAAGUGCCACCACCAAAAACCACAAUAAUACAUAACCAACGUCUCAACCACCAACAAGACCACCGCCGUAAACCACACAAUAUCACUGCACCACCAUCCAAACACUAUCACCGCCAUCACCAUUCAGAUCUGAACACACCACGUCACACCACUACAACCACCACCAAAAGAUUAAUAUUCACACCAUUUAGACACCGACAUAUCAAUAUUCACACGGCAUCACCACCACAUCCACUACCACUCCAAAAAUCAACAAACACCUAACACCGCACCAAUAAACUUCCACACACUGAACCAUCUUGUGUGUCGCCGCAUAGCAAAGCCACGACAACGCCGCGACUUUGACGCUCAUAUUGACUCGCAACGGCACUCAGAUUGACGCUCAACAGCCAUGUCAUCAACGCUUGUCACGGCACCGACACUCGUUGUGACAACAGCAUUCAUCGCGACGAGUUAAGUGGCAAUCAGAUUUAGCAGCGGCCAAAGUUGGUAGAGAGAAUGGAGAGAAGAAAGGGGAGAAGUGAAUUAGGGUUUGGAAUUGAAUUAAUAAAUUAAUACCUGAUUUUUGAUUUAAAAACAUUUGCACUCACAUCUUUAGAUACCAGGAAUCUUGUAAUUUCCUCAUAAAAAAAAAAAGAGCAUGACCACGCGUAUGUACUGUUCUAAAAGUCAUGUAUUAGUGGCACCUAAGUGUCACCAAUGCGCGAUGCGUAGUGGAAAUGCCAAGCCAAGUGGCUUGGCACCUUAUUUAGCGGUCAACGAGAGCGGUCAACAACAAUCGUUGCCGCUAAUGCACGCCUAGGUGUGGUUAACCAAGCCUAGACAAGCAUAAUUAUCUUUUAAUUUUAUUUUUUUAUUUUACAAUUCUUUUAAAUUAAAACUUAAAAGUUGAUUCCUUCAAUUCGUCGAUUCUAAAUUCAAAAUAGUCACUUGAAGUCUAAAACAAAGGAAAUCUCCCAAAAACUCUUAUUUAUUUACUAUUUAAUAUUUACAUUUGGAAAUUAUCUUUUUAUUGAAAACUUUGGAAAAAUGAAUAAAUUUCCUAUAAAUUUGUUUUAGAUGUUUGGUACGUAUUAUUUUUAAUUAUUAAACGAUUUUUCAAUUGAUUAAAAAUUAAAAUAAUUUUAAAAUAUGAAAACAUCUUUUUAUGUUUUUUUACGUCUAUGCCUCGUCUAAGCUCCCCUAACCCAUAGCUUGGCUUCUACGUAUUGCUACGCAUUACGUUUUUUAAAACACUAUGCGUACGUUAAAGGACACGUUUAGAAUUAAUUUCAAAAUAAAUAAUUGUACUGCAUUUAAUAGUUUAAUUUUUUAGAUGAAAUAGUUAACUAAUAACAAAUUAAACUUAGAAAAAUAUUUAACAUGUGGUGGAGAUUCAUGUUAAACUAUUAAUCUUUCUUUUAGGAUUAUUUUAAUUAGUGGAAAGAUUCUAGUUUCUUGAAUUUGAUUCCUAAAGGGGAAUAGAGUUACUGCGCCAAUGCACAAGAAUUAUUCAAUCUCUUUUGCUUUUAUUUUGUGUAUAAAAGCCCAAAACUUCUCAUUUUUGUAUGGUCCAGGCAUUUACAAUUGUGUAUAGAAAAAUUAGAGAAUAGGAAUGGGAGAGCAAUCCGCAUGGGGGAUUACAAGUAUGGCAUUCAAUAAGAUGAAGCCCUAGUUGGCCAUGGUGUCUCUACAAUUUGGCUAUGCCUGAAUGUACAUUAUCACCAUGCUUUCCUUCAAGUUCGGGUUCAACCACUGGAUUCUAAUCGUGGACCAAUACAGUUGCCACGAUGGCUUUUGCGCCUUUCGCAUUUUUCCUCAAAAGGUCAAUACAUCGUCCAUAUAUAUGUGCAUAAGUGUAUGUAAGCCACGCAUGUUAGUUUUAUUUCUCCUUAUAAUAUAAAUUCAUUUCUUCUCUCUGUGUGUGUAACAAUACAACUUGCAUGUCAUUUUGCAAGAAAAUAAGGCCUAAGAUGACACUAUCAGUCAUUCUGAAGAUAAUACUACUUGCUUUUUUGGAGUAUUCCUCUUGAUCACUUCACUUAUUUACUACAAUAUAUCGCUCUUUUGCACCAUCUUACAAGAUUUUCAUCUAAUAGUAUAGUUCAGUCGACCUUAUCUGCAUUAAAUAAACACGAUUAGGCAGUAUAUGUCCAAAAUUUGAGCUUAUUUGUCAAUUUUGUAAUAUUAUCAAGCCCGUGCUUGAUCAAAACUUAAUUCUUGUACUUUUUAGUUAGGAAUGUUAAAAGAAUUAGAUCGAAACAUGUUUGAUUGAAAAUUUUGAUAGAAGUUCCAAAAUGUAAAUUGGUUACAAGUAGGAAAAUUGAAAAUAUAGAAACCAUUAAAAUAAAUUUUUACUUGGUUGCUCUAUAAGAUUGCCAUUUGUUACAUGUGCGCGCUUAUAUUGAGCUUGUCGACCACGUAAAAGUCGAUCAAUGCUUGACGUCAAAUACUUUUGUACAGUGCCAUGUGAUUAAGUAAAUUACAAUGUAUUUAUUAUUUUAUUUAUUUUCUCGUGAUUAAACAAUGGAAAUAACAGAUUAAUUUUUUUAAAGAAUAAAAAAAUAAAGGGUGAAUUUAUUUAUGGAACCACAUUGAUUUCUUCUCCAAUAUCAAAUUUAUCAAUAUGAUGUGAGAGAAUAAAAAUAAAACCCUACUAUAAUUUUCUAACAAACGUGGUGCCGGCAAGGAAAUAACAAAUUUGCCGAAUCAAGAUCGGACGACCGGGUCAACCCGUCAAUACCGGGAAAUCCCAAUCCAACGGCUCAUAUACGUUACGAUAUCCACCGUUGGAUCAUCAACUGACGGCCCAUAUCAAACCAUUGUGGGCUCCAUCAAACCUUUUCCCUAGACAUAUAAAUAACAAUUAUGUAAAACCAUGUCCACUCUGAAGAAUUCUUGAACAAAAUUCUCUCUCACACAGUGGUUUUGUGUGUGGGUUCUGUUGGAAAAAAAUGGUUCAAUGGGUCAACUUUGAGUCCAAAUUUCAGUAGGACCCACCUUUUAAAUAAUACGGGACCUAGUAUAUUCACGUUCUACUCCGCGAGAUGAUUAACGUGAUAUAUUUAUUUAUCGAAAACCAUUUAAAAUUGAAUGAAAUAUUAAGUGUUAAAGUAACCCACAUGAACUAAAGAUUAUGGAAGAAUUUGAUUUGCCAAACACUUAUCCCACAUAGGAAAGUUAGGAAACUUUGGUGUGUUUUAUAAGGUGGAAGUUUGGAAUUAGGUUUGGGCCCCAAGGGGUACCAAUAGUCUUUGGAAGGGGGAAGACCUAUAUCCUAUUGGGUUCGGUCAUAAACCCACACGCGCGCGCCGCUGUCCGACCGGCCGGCUCGGCAUGGCAUGGCACGAGUCCGGUUCGGUGGGGGUCCGGGUCGACCUUUACACUAUAUUAACUUUUUAGACAAAAUUUAUUUAAAAUUUUGGGCCAAAUUGUAAAUAAUCAAAUUCUUGGGUACAAAAUGAAAUUUAAAUUUUGGCUUAUUCCGGGUGUUUUAUUUUCUUUUAACAGUCGACUGUUUCGACUGUUUAUCGACCAUUAACCGACUUAACAGACACGACUUUUAAGAACAGUAUGUCUGUUCGAAUUUUUGAGGUUUGUCUGAAAGGUGAUGACUGUUCGAAUGGCCACGAACAAGUCUAUAAAUAGCCAGCCUUUCUAUCAGAAAAUUUACACCAUUUUCAUUGCAAACUUUCUGUGCUUUGAAUCUCAUUUCCCUCUCUCUCGAUAUUGUCUCGAAGUAAAAAACACUUCGUUGAGUUCGUUGAAACUCCUACAGACUGCAGUGCUGCUUUCGUAGGAGACGAAAAAUUCGUUCUAUCCUGGAAAACGAUUGCUGGACGCCUUUAGCACCAUUGAAGGCAGCAAAUUCGUUUUAAGGACACAUCGUGAAGUCGGUGGGCUCGAAUUACAAUUUUGGAUCCUGUUGAUCAAUUCUUGCAUUCAGGUAAUUCUGUCGGAUUGUUUUCGAAGGAGUGAAUUCAAACUCUAGAAACAACAAUCUUAAAACGAAUUUUAUUUUUUCAAUUAUUAUUUGUUUCUUUUUCUACUCCUUCUUAUCGUUGAUCUUCUGAUUGCAUUCAGAAAUGGAAACUUCUGGUACCACACUCCCGAAUACGACCGGGGAAAAAUCAGAAAAGUUUAAUGGGUCAGAUUUCAAGCGUUGGCAACAAAAAAUGCUUUUUUAUCUGAUGACAUUAAAUCUGGCUAAAUUUCUCAAAGAAAACGCGCUUUCAUAUACUGAGCAAGACAGUGAUGCUGAAAAAUUGGCUGCGCUUGAUGCAUGGAAGCAUUCUGAUUUCUUAUGCAGAAAUUAUGUGCUUAAUGGACUGGAUAACACAUUAUAUAAUGUGUACUGCAAUGCUAAGUCUGCAAAAGAACUGUGGGAAUUUUUGGACACAAAGUACAAAAUCGAAGAUGCCGACACGAAGAAAUUCAUUGUCGGUCGUUUUUUGGAUUAUAAAAUGGUUGACAACAAGACUGUCAUAUCCCAAGUUCAAGAACUUCAGAUCAUACUUACCGACAUCCAUGCCGAAGGAAUGAAACUAAGUGAAUCGUUCCAAGUCGCUGCACUAAUAGAGAAAUUACCACCUUCAUGGAAGGAUUUCAAGAAUUACCUCAAGCACAAGCAAAAGGAAGUGAAACUUGAAGAUAUCAUUGUCCGUUUGAGAAUAGAAGAAGACAAUCGCAAAACGGAAAAAAGGAAUGGUGCAUCUACUUCGAUGAAACCAAAAGCCAACAUUGUAGAAGGAGGCUUCAAGACAAGCAAAAAGAGGAAGCACAAUGGGGAAGGACAAAUUGGUUCUUCAAAAACUGCUAAAAAGUUUAAAGGCAACUGUUACAAUUGUGGCAAGGCAGGACAUCGAUCCAAGGAUUGUCGAAAGCCAAAAAAUGUGAAGGGAAAAACUAACCAGGCCAAUGUAACAGAACAUGAGAACCUCACUGAUAAGGUACAAGACAUGAAUCUUUCUGCGGUCGUCUCUGAAUGCAACUUAAUUGGAAACACUAAGGAGUGGUGGGUAGAUACUGGAGCUACUCGUCACAUAUGCUCAAAUCGCAGGAUGUUCUCUACCUACAAAGCAAUGGAUCAUGAUGAACAUCUUUACAUGGGAAACUCGUCAUCUUCCAAGGUAGAAGGACAUGGGAAGAUAGUGCUGAAAAUGACAAGUGGAAAAGAGCUCACUUUGAAUGAUGUUCUUCAUGUGCCCGAUGUUAGAAAAAACUUGGUAUCUGGUUCUCUACUAAGUAAGAAUGGGUUUAAACUAGUAUUUGUCUCGGACAAAUUUGUACUAUCAAAGAAUGAAAUGUUUGUAGGAAAAGGCUACCUGAAUGAGGGGCUCUUUAAAUUGAAUGUAAUGACCGUUGUACUUCCAAUUAUGAAUAAGAAUAUAUCUUCUUCUUACUUGCUUGAGUCAUUUAACAUUUGGCAUGAACGAUUAGGACAUACAAGUUNNNNNNNNNNNNNNNNNNNNNNNNNNNNNNNNNNNNNNNNNNNNNNNNNNNNNNNNNNNNNNNNNNNNNNNNNNNNNNNNNNNNNNNNNNNNNNNNNNNNNNNNNNNNNNNNNNNNNNNNNNNNNNNNNNNNNNNNNNNNNNNNNNNNNNNNNNNNNNNNNNNNNNNNNNNNNNNNNNNNNNNNNNNNNNNNNNNNNNNNNNNNNNNNNNNNNNNNNNNNNNNNNNNNNNNNNNNNNNNNNNNNNNNNNNNNNNNNNNNNNNNNNNNNNNNNNNNNNNNNNNNNNNNNNNNNNNNNNNNNNNNNNNNNNNNNNNNNNNNNNNNNNNNNNNNNNNNNNNNNNNNNNNNNNNNNNNNNNNNNNNNNNNNNNNNNNNNNNNNNNNNNNNNNNNNNNNNNNNNNNNNNNNNNNNNNNNNNNNNNNNNNNNNNNNNNNNNNNNNNNNNNNNNNNNNNNNNNNNNNNNNNNNNNNNNNNNNNNNNNNNNNNNNNNNNNNNNNNNNNNNNNNNNNNNNNNNNNNNNNNNNNNNNNNNNNNNNNNNNNNNNNNNNNNNNNNNNNNNNNNNNNNNNNNNNNNNNNNNNNNNNNNNNNNNNNNNNNNNNNNNNNNNNNNNNNNNNNNNNNNNNNNNNNNNNNNNNNNNNNNNNNNNNNNNNNNNNNNNNNNNNNNNNNNNNNNNNNNNNNNNNNNNNNNNNNNNNNNNNNNNNNNNNNNNNNNNNNNNNNNNNNNNNNNNNNNNNNNNNNNNNNNNNNNNNNNNNNNNNNNNNNNNNNNNNNNNNNNNNNNNNNNNNNNNNNNNNNNNNNNNNNNNNNNNNNNNNNNNNNNNNNNNNNNNNNNNNNNNNNNNNNNNNNNNNNNNNNNNNNNNNNNNNNNNNNNNNNNNNNNNNNNNNNNNNNNNNNNNNNNNNNNNNNNNNNNNNNNNNNNNNNNNNNNNNNNNNNNNNNNNNNNNNNNNNNNNNNNNNNNNNNNNNNNNNNNNNNNNNNNNNNNNNNNNNNNNNNNNNNNNNNNNNNNNNNNNNNNNNNNNNNNNNNNNNNNNNNNNNNNNNNNNNNNNNNNNNNNNNNNNNNNNNNNNNNNNNNNNNNNNNNNNNNNNNNNNNNNNNNNNNNNNNNNNNNNNNNNNNNNNNNNNNNNNNNNNNNNNNNNNNNNNNNNNNNNNNNNNNNNNNNNNNNNNNNNNGGGCUAUGUCAUCAACCGAAGCUUCAUAUUGGAAAGAAGCUGUUCAUAGUGAAAUUGAAUCCAUACUACAAAAUCAUAAUUGGGAAUUAGUAGACCUCCCUCCCGGUAAUAAGCUUUUGGGAUGUAAAUGGAUUUUCAAAAGGAAAAUGAAAGCAGAUGGAUNNNNNNNNNNNNNNNNNNNNNNNNNNNNNNNNNNNNNNNNNNNNNNNNNNNNNNNNNNNNNNNNNNNNNNNNNNNNNNNNNNNNNNNNNNNNNNNNNNNNNNNNNNNNNNNNNNNNNNNNNNNNNNNNNNNNNNNNNNNNNNNNNNNNNNNNNNNNNNNNNNNNNNNNNNNNNNNNNNNNNNNNNNNNNNNNNNNNNNNNNNNNNNNNNNNNNNNNNNNNNNNNNNNNNNNNNNNNNNNNNNNNNNNNNNNNNNNNNNNNNNNNNNNNNNNNNNNNNNNNNNNNNNNNNNNNNNNNNNNNNNNNNNNNNNNNNNNNNNNNNNNNNNNNNNNNNNNNNNNNNNNNNNNNNNNNNNNNNNNNNNNNNNNNNNNNNNNNNNNNNNNNNNNNNNNNNNNNNNNNNNNNNNNNNNNNNNNNNNNNNNNNNNNNNNNNNNNNNNNNNNNNNNNNNNNNNNNNNNNNNNNNNNNNNNNNNNNNNNNNNNNNNNNNNNNNNNNNNNNNNNNNNNNNNNNNNNNNNNNNNNNNNNNNNNNNNNNNNNNNNNNNNNNNNNNNNNNNGUAUUAUUGGCAGUUUAAUGUAUGUCAUGAAUUGCACUCGACCUGAUAUUGCCUAUUCAAUUAGUAGGCUAAGUCGAUAUACAAGUAAUCCAAGCACUGAUCAUUGGAAGGCCAUUGUUAGAGUUUUAAGGUAUUUAAAACAUACCCAAAAUUUUGGAUUACACUAUUCGAGAUAUCCAGCAGUACUUGAAGGAUACUGUGAUGCAAAUUGGACAUCAGAUACUAAAGACUCCAAAUCAACAAGUGGAUAUAUCUUUACACUUGGAGGUGUUGCAAUAUCAUGGAAGUCUUCAAAGCAGACAUGUAUAGCUAGAUCAACAAUGGAAUCUAAAUUCAUUGCAUUAGACAAAGCUGGAGAAGAAGUCGAAUGGCUACGAAACUUUCUAGAAGAUAUUCCAUGUUGGAUAAAACCUAUGCCUGCUAUAUGUAUCCAUUGCGAUAGUCAAUCAGCAAUUGGAAGGGCACAAAAUGCAAUGUACAACGGUAAAUCUCGACAUAUACGUCGUAGACACAAUACUGUUAGACAAUUGCUCUCUACAUGUAUUAUCUCUAUAGAGUAUGUGAAAUCAAAAGAGAAUAUUGCGGAUCCUCUAACUAAAAGUUUAACAAGAGAGCAAGUCGAAAGUUCAUCGAAGGGGAUGGGAUUAAAACUAAUAAAAUAAUCAAAAGUUUUCAUGGUGGCAACUCAACCUAGUUGACUGGAGAUCCCAAGAUCUAGGUUCAAUGGGACAACCGAACUGUGAAAACUUAGUAUGCACUGGGAAGAUUUUACUUCUACCCAUUCCUAUGAUGAGCCAGUGCCCAGCUGCCGUGAAAUAGGUUAAGAUACGCUUUUAAUGAUUUCUAUAUCUUGAUUUGUUCAAAUGGAGUAUAACAGAAUACUCUUUAUGGAAAUCACCUAUGUGAGUGAGAAGGGGCCGCUUCUAAGAGAAUUAGGUAAACAUGAAUUCUCUAAAAAUCACUCAUGAACCAGGAGGUGUCCAAGGCCAAAAUGGACACAAACGUGAGAACCAACUGUGUUCGAAGAAAAACUGUGUGACUUCUAUUGUCUAGGUUUCCACAAACGGCUGACUGUUUAAAGCAACUUGCUACUGAUUGGCUAAGGAAUUUCGAUAGAUUUUACUAGGGAAAGUUCAAAGUCAUUGACUACUUAUCCCGAUGCAGUCUUCUUCAAUUUUUUCUUUGAAAAAAACAUAACAGAUGUUAUCGUUUGGAAUAAAGGCCAACAUAUUUAAUUCAUGUGGGGGAUUGUUGGAAAAAAUGGUUUAAUGGGUCAACUAUGAGCCCAAAUUUCAGUGGGACCCACCUUUUAAAUAAUACGGGACCUAGCAUGUUCACGUUCUACUCCGCGAGAUGAUUAACGUGAUAUAUUUAUUUAUCGAAAACCAUUUAAAAUUAAAUGAAAUAUUAAGUGUUAAAGUAACCCACAUAAACUAAGGAUUAUGAAAGAAUUUGAUUUGUCAAACACUUAUCCCACAUAGGAAAGUUAGAAAACUUUGGUGUGGUUUAUAAGGUGGAAGUUUGGAAUUGGGUUUGGGCCCCAAGGGGUACCAAUAGUCUUUGGAAGGGGAAAGACCUAUAUCCUAUUGGGUUCGGUCAUAAACCCACACGAGCGCGUCGUCGCCGCCGUCCGACCGGCUGGCUCGGCUCGGCAUGUGCCCGAGCCCUAGUCCGGUCCGGUUCAGUUCAGUGGGGGUCCGGGUCGACCUUUACACCAUAUUAACUUUUUAGACAAAAUUUAUUUAAAAUUUUGGGCCAAAUUGUAAAUAAUCAAAUUCUUGGGUAUAAAAUGAAAUUUAAAUUUUGGCUUAUUCCGGGUGUUUUACUUUCUUUUAAUAGUCGACUGUUUCGACUGUUUACCGACCAAACAGUCGACUUUUUACCGAUCAAACAGUCGACUGUUAGCCGACCAUUAACCGACUUAACAGACACGACUUUUAAGAACAGUAUGUCUGUUCGGAUUUUUGAGGCUUGUCUGAAAGGUGAUGACUGUUCGAAUGGCCACGAACAAGUCUAUAAAUAGCCAGCCUUUCUACCAGAAAAUUUACACCAUUUUCAUUGCAAACUUUCUGUGCUUUGAAUCUCAUUUCCCUCUCUCUCGAUAUUGUCUCGAAGUAAAAAACACUUCGUUGAGUUCGUUGGAACUCCUACAGACUGCAGUGCUGCUUCCGUAGGAGACGAAAAAUUCGUUCUAUCCUGGGAAACGAUUGCUGGACGCCUUUAGCACCAUUGAAGGUAGCAAAUUUGUUUUAAGGACACAUCGUGAAGUCGGUGGGCUCGAAUUACAAUUUUGGAUCCUGUUGAUCAAUUCUUGCAUUCAGGUAAUUCUGUCGGAUUGUUUUCGAAGGAGUGAAUUCAAACUCUAGAAACAACAUGUUCUUGUUCCAAAAAAUUGUUUUUGCUUAUCUUGCUCACUUAUCCGACGCAUUAUCGCCGGAGAUGAAACCGGCGUCGGAGUAUAUGAUAAGAAAAUCGAGGUACAGGAGAGUUAAUCGUCUAGCUAAAAAGAUCAACAGCUAGGAUUUUAUCAGCGGAUCUCACUGUCAAGAAUGGACGGUCAAAAGCUUACUAGGAACCACUCAUCACUUCUUCGGUUAUCCACCACCGUCAGAUCAUAACCAUCCGCAGCUUAUCUUCUAUGAACGAGAUCGCACCUGAUGAAGAAAUAUAUAACCUUGAAGAAUGGAAAUCUCACUGCAAGCCCGUUUCACCGCUGGUUCAGUCCGGUUCAGUGUGUCUAACUCCGAUACUUGCCAUAUUGUUCCUCUAUGUAUGCACCCUUUUCGCCUUCUUCAACACGGACGACAUAGCCACCUCGGAAAAUCUGCUUUUAGGGCUUAUUUUAGUUGCUGUUUUACUUUUCUUCGCGUCGAAAAAUAAGUCAAGAAUCCAACAAAGUUUCAGUUUUUGCAAGGAACUGUGUUAUGAGUAUGGAAAAAAAGUUGGGUUUCUCUGUUUGACCUCUAAGAACAAUGAAAAAUCUGUGAAAUGGUUCAUCGGUGAAUUGAACUUCGAUUAUAAAGAGAA
Molecule: long non-coding RNA, 53448 nt
Filed under: Olea europaea (common olive)
Lineage: Eukaryota; Viridiplantae; Streptophyta; Magnoliopsida; Lamiales; Oleaceae
Description: long non-coding RNA (OEUR_LNC011112)
Source: RNAcentral